RNAcentral lists this long non-coding RNA (61469 nucleotides) under Zostera marina. RNAcentral describes it as "long non-coding RNA (ZMAR_LNC002056)". Lineage: Eukaryota; Viridiplantae; Streptophyta; Magnoliopsida; Alismatales; Zosteraceae. The record is from RNAcentral.
CUUCAAAAGUGGUUGAAAUUAAGGUAAGAGUAGUUGUUGUAAAAAUAAAUUUAUUUAUUACUUAUGUGCCAUAUAUAUCUCUUUGCGGUAAAUAUCUGAUGUGCCGAGACUUGAAUGUGCCAUCGUGCGCCGACCCCCUAAGAAUUCACCUUUCUCCAUCCUACGGUCACACAUCUGUCACACAAUUUACCUCUUGUUUGAACAACGUCGGGUAACGAUCUCGAGGCAAUCCGGCAUAUUUAGCGCAUCUAUUAUUCGACACACCUGAUGUGUGUCGUAUCUCUUUAUAUUAAUGCAUGAUCGAUCAUAAAGAGUUUGUUUUUUAUAAAUAGUGUUUCAUGUAUAGUUAACAUUUAUUUUGUUUUUUGUUUGUAGGGAAAUAAGAUAAGAAAACGCUUAAAAAAAAAUUGACCUCCAUUACUUGUAACGACGCCAGAUGCAAGUUAAUGAUGCAGACCUGCAUCCUCUUUGCAAAAAAAUAUUGAAAAAUAAUCCGAAUAAUGAUGAAAUCGAAAAGAAGAAAAAAAAUCGACUCAAACAUUGAAACAAUGUAUCAGAAUAAUUCGACUCAAACAUUGAAUUCAGAUGCUCUGGUGAAUCUCAAUGGGUCGUAUGAUCGAACCAUGCACGACUGAUGGUUCCUGGUGACAUUAAAACGGAGGAUAAAAGUAAUGAUGUUGGGAAGAUUAUAUCUAUUGGUUCUAGCUAGCACGACUAGAGAGAAAAAGGAAACCGAGAUAUUCGAAAAAAUGAUAUAUCAUCUAUGGCAUCAUCUAGAUCAAUCUCUGCACAGGUCUAUUUAAACAUUGCAUUUGUUCUAUUUUUUGCUUUUGUACAUUUGAUUUUUUUUGUAUUUACCAGGGAUCAUUUGGGCUUAAUAGAAUAUCUGGUUUUUAAGAGUAACCCAACUUUCAACACUUUUGGGCAUAGUUCUAUACAAAAUCAAGAAUAUGGAAACAACCAUCAAGGAAUAUAUAUCUAGCUUCUGUUGGAAUUGGGUCAAAUAGCAUUCCUCCUAAUGGAAAUAAAUUACUAUUCUUACCCUAACCCUAAACAUUCAUUAUAAAUUCUUGGUACUAUUAUAGCUAGAAAUCCACACUUGAUGUAUAAUCCCCUAGGGUUUCUUAUUCUACCCAUAAACUUCUACCCACAACUUGCAGUAUCACAAGAUCAUAACUAUAAUGAUUUUUAUGUAGGGGUAGUUAAAAUUUUAAUAGAUUAACCAAGUUAAAUAAGCUACCCAUAAAUCGGAUAACCCUAAUCCUAAAUUCGAGAGAUGACGAAGUGUAUAUGUGAACAAAUUGAAUUUUACUUUCUGAUAUGUCAUUUUUUAUUUAUGAUACAUUAUUUUUUUAAGCAUGUUCUUUGGUUUUCACAUAUUUUAUCUAUGUGUUUUUAUAGAGAUUUCAACUACCGAGAUGAUAAAUUUUUACACGGUCAUAUGGAUAAAGAAGGAUGGGUGCCGAUAACCGGAACUACGUUCAAAAUAUUUAUCUAACAAGUUAUAUUUUCUCAAUAUUUCUAAACAACAACUUAUAUAUGCUCCAAAUUUGAUUUACAGUUAAAAAUAAAAAAUGUCAUCGAUUUUUUAUUAUGUAUUUGUUGUAAAAGUAUUAUGUAUUUGUUGUAAAAGUAUGUAUCUUAAAUUUACAAGUAAAAGUAUUUGUUGUAAAAUUAAAUUUGUGAUAUGUUGUAAAAGUAUACAUUAUGUGAUUUGUUGUAAAAGUAACUCUUUAUAUUGAUAAUGAAAAUAUUUAUGAACUAAACAUAUAUAUAACCCUAACCCUAAAUCCUACUAAGUGUGGGUUAGAGUGUAUUAGUAUUUUUUUCUGACCUAACCUAAAUCUACUAAGUGUGGGUUAUAGUGUGUUAGUAAUUUUUUUCUGAUCUAACCCUAAAUCCUACUAUGUGUGGGUUAGAGUGUGUUAGUAUUUUUUCUGAUUUAACCAUAACCCUAAAUCCUACUGAGUGUGGGUUAUAUUGUGUUAGUAAUUUUUUUUAUCUAACCCUAACCAUAAAUCCUACUAAGUGUGGGUUAGACUGUGUUGGUAAUUUUUUUUCUGAUUUACCCCUCAUCAAAUUAAUUAAUAUACCAAUGUUAAUGUACUUAAUUGGUAACCCGUCACACUAUACCCUCUUCAGAUCUUCUUUUUUGAUCAUAUAUUACACUAAUAAACGGAUAAAAUUGAAUCAAUCACUCUCACAAUAUUUUUUUUUUAAUGGACGGUUCAGAUGUGUGGGCGCAUUUGAGCGCAUUCCGUACUGUGUUUAUAAGAAUUUUAUUCUAAUUGAUUAAGAGUUUAUACCUUUGUAUUUAUAAUUCAUUAGCACUAACUAACUAAAAAAAGCCGUAGCUUUUACUGGCCGUGUGUAAGCCCGUGGACGUAGCCCUGUUUUCUUGUAGUGCAUCAACUAAUUAGUCCAGUCCAGUGCCGGCCUUUUAUUCAAUUGGCCUAUUUACAAAUAAUUGAAACUUUUACAGUCUUUACCCCUAAGCUUUCUUGUUAUAACAUUCUUAUAUAUAAUUCCAUAUAGGUCUUGAAAUCAUAUUAAGAGAUUUAUUACAGAUUAUAAACAUGAUUUACAGGUCUUAUCUCUCUAAUUACUUAAUUUAGGUCCCACCAAGAUCACCCGUCAUAUAUUAUUCGGGUAUUUCAGCCAGAAAACCGAACUCCUGGUUCACCUAGAAGACUCGCAACUGACUCGAAUCCAAUCAAACACAGGCGAAGAUGCGAUUUAUUGGGAGACCACCGUCAAUUCUUCGCUUCACGACUAUCGGGACGUCGAUGGCGUGAUGAUCGCAUAUUCCGGUACAUCGACGAUCACCUUCUUCGGAUUCGGUGAGACCGGAGUUAAUCGAAUGGGGAUGACAAACAUACCUGAUGGAGGAUGAUGGUGUGUGGGCUUGCGCUACGGUGCUCACACACACAACUCUCUAGUCUCACUCUCUCUUAAUUUGAUUAUCGACCCCCUCUCUUGCUGUACUUGAGGAGAUAUUUAUAACAUAUUUCUUUAGGCCUGCUGGCAGUGGCGAAUGUAGGGGGGACUUGAGCCCCCCCCCCCCUCAAAAAAAUAAAAAUUUUCAUUUAGUACUCCACUUCUCCACAGUUUAAAAUAUAAUAAUAAAUAUUUAAUUUUUAUAAUAUAAUAAUAAUAUAAAAUAUUUUUAAAAUAUUACUAAAUACUUUACUUAUAAAUCAUUCUACGAUUAAUAAUUAAUUUAUUAUUAUAUUUACCCUAAUUUCUCAUAACUGUCCGUCUAUAUUUAGAGAUUUAAAAUUUCGUUUUUUUUCUCCUCCUCCUCCAUCUCCAUCCAUUUUUUUAUUUUUUUGACUCCACUCAUCUCCACAACUCCACACCUUCAUUCAUUUAAUUUUUAAACUUUUUUUCUCCACUUCACGAGAUAUCGUGACCAUAACUCCAUACAAAAAAUAAUAAUAAAGAUAAUUUUUAUCCACAUUCUUUAUUGUUAAAUUUGUUAUUAAUUUAGAUCGUUUUUACAUAGAUAAUCAAUGGAUAAAUUUAUGAUCAAAAAACCUACAAUAAAUCAACCAAUUUCAACUUCAUAAUUCAAUCCACAACCAUCUCGAGAGCCACUCGAUGAAAGUAAAUUAUCUUCCGAUUCGGGAUUGCGAAAGAAGAUAAAUGACUACCAUCCAAAUGAUCAAGAUCAAAUAAGAAGAUAUUAUUUGCAAAAAAAACCUUGUCAACCAUGCCAACAUGAAUUUCCAUUGAAAAGAAUUAAAAAUCAAUUUAGAAGAUUUUGUGUAUUGUGGUUUGACAAAUAUAAAUCAUAGAUUGAAUAUAACAUUUCAAAAGACGCCUUUUUCUAUUUAUUUUGUUAUUUAUUCCCGAAAACAAAUGGAAAAUGAAACUACUUUUACUUGUAAGUAAAAUUUGUUUGUUAAUUUCCUUAUAACUUAAUUGUUUUUUGUUAAUCAUUGAUGUUGUUUUUUCUUUUGGAUUGAUCAUGUUUUGUAGCUAAAGGUUUUUCUAAAUGGAAUAAACCAAAAUAUUUUGUUGUUUCCUUUAGUAUUUCGUUUAAAAUUAACACAUACAUUAUCAGUUGCGACUGCUUCAGUGGUAAGAUUUUUUUCAGCAAUGAAUCUUAUGAAAUUAAGUUGUCGCAAUCGUAUGAAUGAUGUUUGGUUGAAUGAUAUUUUAGUAAUAUAUGUUGAAAAAGAUUUAUUUUUUAGUGUUAGUAAUGAUGAUAUUAUGUAUCUGUACCAAAAUAUGACACCUCGUCGAGAACAAUUGGAUUGAAUUUUUUCGUCCUAGGGACCCUGGUACCAACAAAGGACGAGGAGGGAGGAUGGGUUUCAUUUUUCCCGCUAAAUCAUCAUGGCAUUUUCAUUAAUUUCAUUUAAUUAUAAAGAUAUUUUCGUCUAGAAAAUUAUAGGUGGGUAGUUUUGAUGGUUGGAUCACCUGCACACGCGUUAAAUUCACUACAAGAAAACAGGGAAACAGCCACGGCCAGCAGAAUCCGUGGCUAAAUGUUAGAAAUUAGCCACGGCUUUUUUAGCCGUGGCUAAGCCCGUGGCUAAUAUUUAUAUUUAGCCACGGAAUCAAAAAUCUGUGGCUAAUCCCGUGGCUAAUUUUCCCGGCAAAUUUCCCUCCAAUUUUUCAUUGAAUAUUUAGCCACGGCUCUUAAAAUCCGUGGCUAAAAUUUGCGGCAAAAUUUCCCUCCAAUUUCCACUGAAAUUUAGCCACGGAUUUAGCCACGGAUUUAGGAGCCGUGGCUAAUUUAGUGACAAAUAAAUUAGCCACGGAUAUUAGCCACGGCAUUUAGCCCUGGCUAAUAAUGAUAAUAGGGUUAGGGUUAAUGUAAAUGUAAAUAAUUAGGGUCAGGGUUAAUGUAAAUGUAAAUGUAAAUAAUUAGGGUUAGGGUCAGGGUUAAUGUAAAUCUAAAUAAUUAGGGUUAGGGUUAGGGUUAGGGUGAGGGUUAGGAUUAGGAUUAAUAGAAAUUAACAAAAAUUAGUAAAAAUAAGUAUAUAUACAUAUUUAGAUAGGGUUAGGGUUAGAAAUUAGGGUUAAAAGUAAGAGUUAGAAGUAGAAGUUAGGGUUAGGGUUAGAUUAUAGUUGUUUAGAUAUUAUAAAUUAUAAAAAAUUUAAAGUUAGAUUAUAAUUAGAUAAUUAUAAUAAUUUAAAUUAUAAAAAUUAUAAAUUGAAGUUAUUUUAGAUAUUUUAAAUUUUAAAGUUAAAAAAUAAAUUUAAACAAGGUAUUUUAAUUUUUAAUGUUACAAAUUCAAGUAUUAUAAAAGUUAUUUUAAAUUAUAAAAGUAGGUUAGGGUUANNNNNNNNNNNNNNNNNNNNNNNNNNNNNNNNNNNNNNNNNNNNNNNNNNNNNNNNNNNNNNNNNNNNNNNNNNNNNNNNNNNNNNNNNNNNNNNNNNNNNNNNNNNNNNNNNNNNNNNNNNNNNNNNNNNNNNNNNNNNNNNNNNNNNNNNNNNNNNNNNNNNNNNNNNNNNNNNNNNNNNNNNNNNNNNNNNNNNNNNNNNNNNNNNNNNNNNNNNNNNNNNNNNNNNNNNNNNNNNNNNNNNNNNNNNNNNNNNNNNNNNNNNNNNNNNNNNNNNNNNNNNNNNNNNNNNNNNNNNNNNNNNNNNNNNNNNNNNNNNNNNNNNNNNNNNNNNNNNNNNNNNNNNNNNNNNNNNNNNNNNNNNNNNNNNNNNNNNNNNNNNNNNNNNNNNNNNNNNNNNNNNNNNNNNNNNNNNNNNNNNNNNNNNNNNNNNNNNNNNNNNNNNNNNNNNNNNNNNNNNNNNNNNNNNNNNNNNNNNNNNNNNNNNNNNNNNNNNNNNNNNNNNNNNNNNNNNNNNNNNNNNNNNNNNNNNNNNNNNNNNNNNNNNNNNNNNNNNNNNNNNNNNNNNNNNNNNNNNNNNNNNNNNNNNNNNNNNNNNNNNNNNNNNNNNNNNNNNNNNNNNNNNNNNNNNNNNNNNNNNNNNNNNNNNNNNNNNNNNNNNNNNNNNNNNNNNNNNNNNNNNNNNNNNNNNNNNNNNNNNNNNNNNNNNNNNNNNNNNNNNNNNNNNNNNNNNNNNNNNNNNNNNNNNNNNNNNNNNNNNNNNNNNNNNNNNNNNNNNNNNNNNNNNNNNNNNNNNNNNNNNNNNNNNNNNNNNNNNNNNNNNNNNNNNNNNNNNNNNNNNNNNNNNNNNNNNNNNNNNNNNNNNNNNNNNNNNNNNNNNNNNNNNNNNNNNNNNNNNNNNNNNNNNNNNNNNNNNNNNNNNNNNNNNNNNNNNNNNNNNNNNNNNNNNNNNNNNNNNNNNNNNNNNNNNNNNNNNNNNNNNNNNNNNNNNNNNNNNNNNNNNNNNNNNNNNNNNNNNNNNNNNNNNNNNNNNNNNNNNNNNNNNNNNNNNNNNNNNNNNNNNNNNNNNNNNNNNNNNNNNNNNNNNNNNNNNNNNNNNNNNNNNNNNNNNNNNNNNNNNNNNNNNNNNNNNNNNNNNNNNNNNNNNNNNNNNNNNNNNNNNNNNNNNNNNNNNNNNNNNNNNNNNNNNNNNNNNNNNNNNNNNNNNNNNNNNNNNNNNNNNNNNNNNNNNNNNNNNNNNNNNNNNNNNNNNNNNNNNNNNNNNNNNNNNNNNNNNNNNNNNNNNNNNNNNNNNNNNNNNNNNNNNNNNNNNNNNNNNNNNNNNNNNNNNNNNNNNNNNNNNNNNNNNNNNNNNNNNNNNNNNNNNNNNNNNNNNNNNNNNNNNNNNNNNNNNNNNNNNNNNNNNNNNNNNNNNNNNNNNNNNNNNNNNNNNNNNNNNNNNNNNNNNNNNNNNNNNNNNNNNNNNNNNNNNNNNNNNNNNNNNNNNNNNNNNNNNNNNNNNNNNNNNNNNNNNNNNNNNNNNNNNNNNNNNNNNNNNNNNNNNNNNNNNNNNNNNNNNNNNNNNNNNNNNNNNNNNNNNNNNNNNNNNNNNNNNNNNNNNNNNNNNNNNNNNNNNNNNNNNNNNNNNNNNNNNNNNNNNNNNNNNNNNNNNNNNNNNNNNNNNNNNNNNNNNNNNNNNNNNNNNNNNNNNNNNNNNNNNNNNNNNNNNNNNNNNNNNNNNNNNNNNNNNNNNNNNNNNNNNNNNNNNNNNNNNNNNNNNNNNNNNNNNNNNNNNNNNNNNNNNNNNNNNNNNNNNNNNNNNNNNNNNNNNNNNNNNNNNNNNNNNNNNNNNNNNNNNNNNNNNNNNNNNNNNNNNNNNNNNNNNNNNNNNNNNNNNNNNNNNNNNNNNNNNNNNNNNNNNNNNNNNNNNNNNNNNNNNNNNNNNNNNNNNNNNNNNNNNNNNNNNNNNNNNNNNNNNNNNNNNNNNNNNNNNNNNNNNNNNNNNNNNNNNNNNNNNNNNNNNNNNNNNNNNNNNNNNNNNNNNNNNNNNNNNNNNNNNNNNNNNNNNNNNNNNNNNNNNNNNNNNNNNNNNNNNNNNNNNNNNNNNNNNNNNNNNNNNNNNNNNNNNNNNNNNNNNNNNNNNNNNNNNNNNNNNNNNNNNNNNNNNNNNNNNNNNNNNNNNNNNNNNNNNNNNNNNNNNNNNNNNNNNNNNNNNNNNNNNNNNNNNNNNNNNNNNNNNNNNNNNNNNNNNNNNNNNNNNNNNNNNNNNNNNNNNAGAACCAAGUUCUAGCCGAAGCGAUAGAACUAAUGUUUAUAGUCCACUCUGAUCAAGAGCGACUUAAAGUCCGCAACGACGGCCCCCUUCAAGGCUAUUUAGCGACAAGAUGGGUUGAAAAUCGUUAAGGCCAAAGCGGCAGAACGAUCUCUAGUGUAUCAAGGCAGAAUGCGACAAGAUACGUGGACUCAUUAUUAGAGUCUUAUUCUGGCCAAAGCGACAGAAUAAUACCUGCAAAAAAGAAAACAUCCUGCAAAACAACAAGAGAAAACAUCCUGCAAAACAACUAGAUCAGUCUGAAAACGCAUAUGAUUAUUGACCGAAAAUACCUCUUGCGAUACUUUUUUCCUUACUUUAGCCAAUCCUCGGUGAAUCUGGCCGAAGCGACAGACUGACCNNNNNNNNNNNNNNNNNNNNNNNNNNNNNNNNNNNNNNNNNNNNNNNNNNNNNNNNNNNNNNNNNNNNNNNNNNNNNNNNNNNNNNNNNNNNNNNNNNNNNNNNNNNNNNNNNNNNNNNNNNNNNNNNNNNNNNNNNNNNNNNNNNNNNNNNNNNNNNNNNNNNNNNNNNNNNNNNNNNNNNNNNNNNNNNNNNNNNNNNNNNNNNNNNNNNNNNNNNNNNNNNNNNNNNNNNNNNNNNNNNNNNNNNNNNNNNNNNNNNNNNNNNNNNNNNNNNNNNNNNNNNNNNNNNNNNNNGGGAGAGUUUGUGAUAGGGGGAGUAUCACAAGCUCUCCCGACAUUUCUGUCGCUCCGGCCAGAAAUCGUCAUAUUUUAAGGGGGAAUAUCACAACUCCCUUCAGGAAAACUCUAAGUUUCUCACAAAAAAUACCUCUAAUGCUAAGUCGGCGAGUUAACACCUUAAGUCGCCGACUUAGGGUAUCAUACAGUAUCUUAGGGGGAGAUUGUCAAAUUCAGGGGGGAGUAUCACAAACUCUCUCGACUUUUCUGUCGCUCCGGCCGGAAAUUGUCAAAACUCAGGAGGGAGUAUCACAAACUCUCUCGACUUUUCUGUCGCUCCGGCCGGAAAUUGUCAAAACUCAGGAGGGAGUAUCACAAACUCUCUCGACUUUUCUGUCGCUCCGGCCGGAAAUUGUCAACAUUCGGGGGGGAGUAUCACAAGCUCUCCCGGCAUUUCUAUCGCUUUGGCUAAAGAUCGNNNNNNNNNNNNNNNNNNNNNNNNNNNNNNNNNNNNNNNNNNNNNNNNNNNNNNNNNNNNNNNNNNNNNNNNNNNNNNNNNNNNNNNNNNNNNNNNNNNNGAGAGUAUCACAAGCUCUCCCGACAUUUCUAUCGCUUUGGCUAGAGAUUGUCAACACUCAGGGGGGAGUAUCACAAGCUCUCCCGACACUUCUGUCGCUCUGGCCAGAAGUCGUCAUACAUAAACACGGUCAGUCUGUCGCUUCGGCCAGAUUCACCGAGGAUUGGCUAAAGUAAGGAAAAAAGUAUCGCAAGAGGUAUUUUCGGUCAAUAAUCAUAUGCGUUUUCAGACUGAUCUAGUUGUUUUGCAGGAUGUUUUCUCUUGUUGUUUUGCAGGAUGUUUUCUCUUGUUGUUUUGCAGGAUGUUUUCUUUUUUGCAGGUAUUAUUCUGUCGCUUUGGCCAGAAUAAGACUCUAAUAAUGAGUCCACGUAUCUUGUCGCAUUCUGCCUUGAUACACUAGUGUCGCUUUGGCCUUAACGAUUCUCAACCCAUCUUGUCGCUAAAUAGCCUUGAAGGGGGCCGUCGUUGCGGACUUUAAGUCGCUCUUGAUCAGAGUGGACUAUAAACAUUAGUUCUAUCGCUUCGGCUAAAGCUUGUGAUACUCCCCCCUGAAUUUUGACAAUUUCCAGCCGGAGCGACAGAAAAGUCGAGAGAGUUUGUGAUGCUCCCGCCUGAGGUUGUGGAAGGGGGCUUGUCAUUUUCCCCCUAAGAUACUGUAUGAUACCCUAAGUCGGCGACUUAAGGUGUUAACUCGCCGACUUAGCAUUGGAGGUAUUUCUUGUGAGAAACUUAGAGGUUUCUUGAAGGGAGUUGUGAUAUUCCCCCUUAAAAUAUGACGAUUUCUGGCCGGAGCGACAGAAAUGUCGGAAGAGCUUGUGAUACUCCCCCUUGAAAUUUGACGACUUCUAGCCAAAACGACAGAAGUGUUGAUGAGAGUUUAUGAUACUCUCCUCCAAAGAUGGGCGAGACGGCUUCCGGCUAGAGUGACAGAAGCGUCGGAGAGAGCUUGUGAUACUCCCCUUGAAAUCGUGCCGUUGUGACAGAUUGUAGAGUUAUGCUUUAGAUGUUUGUGCCCGAGGCGAUAGAAUUAUUGAGGAGAGCUUGUGAUACUCCCCUCGAAAAUCAUGUCCACUUGACAACUUUUAAAAUAUUGGUGUAACGAAGGUAUUGGAGGGAGCUUAUGAUACUCCCCCCGAGAAUCAUGUCGUCGUGACAUAUGAAUUUUUGAAAUAUUUUGCAAUCUUUCUAUUUUGAUUAUCAGUGGACUACCUUUUGUCUUUUCUUUGCCAAUCUUCCAUAUAAACCACCUUUAAAUUGUAACCUAGGCUCGAAACUAGAUUCAUAAGCCGUAACUUAGCCACUCUGGACGUAAGUUAGACUCUGCUAACCCUCGCUUAGCCACUUUGGACGUAAGCUUGGUCGUACGAAUCGUAAUUCAGUCGUCAGUUAAAUUAGCGGAUAAUUUAUAUCUCCGAAUUGACGCAGAGUUGCAAAGAAUAGUACCGAUAAACCAAAAAUUAAGAUGCACAAUAUUAUUUGGAAUCGUAGGGUUGGAUCCGCAAUUUAGGACUACAAUUCUAGAUUUGAACCCCGGUGUUUUAGCCAAGCUCCAGCCAUAGCGAUAGAGUGACUCUCGAUCCUCAUCAAGGCCAUGGCGACAAGAUAGGAUAUGAUCAUCAAGGCCACAACGACAAAAUUAACACCAGGGUACCAUUAAUUGUAGUCGCAAAUAUUUAGAAUCUCAUGGUUUGAUUCGUAAAUUGGAGUUGUAAUUUAGAUUCUUAAGUCGCACCUUGGACUUGUAAAUCGUAAACUUGAAAUCGUAAUUUAGACUCUUUGUCGUAAAUUAGAUUUUGUAAUCAUCACUUAGACUCGUGGGUCGUAAGCUAGAUCUGAGUAACGGGUGUCAUCCGGCCAAAGCGACGGAUUGAUCCCUAUGAAAUUAUCCCUUGUAGGUUUGAUGUAUUAAUCCUAGAACCGUAGCGUAGGCUUGAAACUGGAGUCGCAAAUCGUAAUUUAGACUCUUUGUCAUAAAUUAGAUUUUGAAAGAGAACUUAGAUUCAUAAAUAUUUGGAAUCUUAGGGUUUGAUUCGCAAAUAUUUGCGAGAGUCGUAACUUAGAUUCUUAAGUCGCAUUUUGACUCGUAAAUCGUAAACUAGACUUGUAAUCAUAAUUUAGACUCUUUGUCGUAAAUUAGAUUUCGUAACUAUCACCUUGACUCGUGGGUCGAACAGAUGAUAGAUAAUGUCGAAGCGACGGAUGUCACCCAGCCGAAGCGAUGGGUGAUUGAUCCGUCUGAAGUGAUGAAUGAUUAUUCUAAAUGUUGCAUACAUAUCGCAGAAUAAAAUUGUUGUUAGAUUGCGACAACUAAUAGAACAAUAGAAACGACAACCAAAAGAAUAGAUGAGUUCUUUUGAUGUUUGGUUGCCACUGACGGAUGCAUAGCCUGUUUAGUUACUCUAGCCUAUCUUUGACAGAUGGUAGUUACCCACUAAUAGCGUGACACGCUUGAUUGUGAACUGUGGCUUUGGUUGCCAUCAAUGUCAUAGGAUUGAGAGCGUAAGCUAUGGCUUUGGUGGCCAUAACUUUUAUCAGACUGAGAGUGUGAGUUAUGACUUUGGUGGCCAUAACUGUUACCAGACUGAGAGUGUGAGUUAUGACUUUGGUGGCCAUAACUGUUAGCAGACUGAGAGUGUGAGUUAUGACUUUGGUGGCCAUAACUGGUUCUGGAUUUAGGGUGUGAGCUAUGACUCUGGUGGUCAUAACUGCUACCCGGAGACUCCUCGCUGUAUCGAAGAAGAGUAGUCGAGGUUUCGGAUUGGGAACUUGUAUCCUCGUAUGCCUCUUCUUUAGCAUAGCGAGGUUUCUUCCGGCUGGACGGCUCGAGUUUGUCCAGCUUGUCAUUGUUCUCCUCUUCUAUCUCAAUAUACGAUUGAGCUCGUUGGAAGAGGUCCGGCAGGGUCUCCACUUUAUGGAGUAUCAGAUUCCGGGCCAAAGGGGAGAAGGGUACCAACCCUCUCACGUAUCCUGCUAUGGCCAGACUAGGGAUUAGAUUGUUUACUUCUGUCAUCAUCGAAGUGAACUUAAUCGUGUAAUCCCUCAGAGACAGCUUGUUUUGUCGUAGUGCCAGUAGUGCGUUGGCACUGUGUUUUAUUCUGAUCAUCCCCACAUGUUGGGCGAUGAACUUGGAAGAGAGGUCCGUGAAGCUGGAGACUGAGCCAGCCGGCAGACCGGAAAACCACCGAUAUGCGUUGCCUUUCAGAGUGCCUGGGAAGGCCCAACACAGCAACCCGUUAUCGGUAGUUUGCGGCUCCAAGAUAUUCAGAUAGAGGUUAACAUGAUCCUCAGGAUCUGUCGUUCCAUCGUACAAGUCUAUCUUGGGACACCGCCAAGAUUGCGGAAAAGGUUUUCUCAGGAGGUCCCUAUGAAAGGGUGCCCUUCCUAUUCUAAGAAGAUCAUGUGGGUCCCUUAGGUCAUGCUUGUCUUUACGAAGCAUUUCCUUGAUUACCCUAUUCAUGAGUGUGGCAUCGUAAUCCGCACGAGUCGUGGAACUCUAAGGUACACCUGAGUGAUGUACUGCGGACAUGUGGUGAGAACCGAGAUGCUUGUGUCUCUUUGUUUCACCAUGGUUGUCUCCCAUAGGAGAGUGAUGCGAGUUGGAUUUGGGUUGCCCUGAAAUUGCAGGACUCUUUCCCUUGAGCUCUCGAAGCUCCUUGGAUAUCCUUGAUUCAGACCAAUGACACGUACUUAAGUUUGUCUUCCGAUCCUCAAAUGUGGGUUAGACUUUCUUGUCGUACAUCGUAUGGUGGUCCGGCUCCUUGAAGCCUCUAGGUUGGUUAUCCUUUUGUCCAACUUCAACAUGAGAGCAUGCAUGUGCGCAAGCCUUUCCUGUGUUGUCGGAGUUGGGUUCACACCCCCAUUCAGUGUGAGUGGUGAGGACACCUCAUGUGUAGAAGCUCCUACCUCAGUAGCAGUGGCGAUAGCUUUCUUUUUAUGAUCCUUAGUAAAAGGAGCCAUAAAUGGGAUGGUUGCUUCUAUCGGGUCGAAGCAACAGACCACGAGUGGAAGUUCUUCCGAAGUGCCGGAAACUAUGGGUAGGUACCUGCCCCCUGGGUGUCACAAAACAGAAAAAAUUUCGUAUAAUAUUUCUUUGCAGUUUUUUGACCCCCUUGAGCAGUGCUACUAGUCCUCAAAGUUUGAAAUUAGCAAAAAAUGUCGUAAAUUUUUUGCAAUUUUUUUUUGCAGAAAAUCGUGCCGCCGGAGGUGGUUUUCGGGAUGCCUGUUUAGACCUAUCCCAGAAAAGAUUCCUUGCACUGUUGGGAAAUUCUGCUCUUUGGUACUCGUAGAGAAAACUUUUCUCACGUGAUAUGUGGUCUCAGAAUCCCAAAAUCAGAUCUGGGUAUUCCGGAGGUGGACCAACGAAAUCACUGGAGGUGAAAAAAGGUAAAAAACCCCAUACUCUUUUUUUUUCUUUUUUUUUUUUACCAAAACGACGAGGCGAAUCCGACCGUGGCGAUGGAUUUUCGUUUCGGUAAAAGAGCUGGGCUAUAAGUGGUCUUAUUCAGCCAAAGAGAUGAAUGAAGACGAUGAUCGAAUGGGCGAGUUUGCCCCAAGAUAGGCGAGUUUGCCCCUUGAUAGGCGAGUUUGCCCAAGAUAGACGAGUUUGCCCAAGAUAGGCGAUUUUUGCUUGGAAAAAAUCGAACCUAUGCGAAGACGCAAGUUCCAGAGCAAAGGAUGACUUGACCAAGCUUGUUCAAAAAACAAAGAAAUAAGUCGGUGAGUUAGGGGAAAACUCGGCGACUUUAGAUUUCGAGGUGUUUUUCGAACAAAGUCGUGGACAGCACUCUUAGCUAGAAGACGAUAUUCCGGAUCGGGCGAUUCUCAAGGAUAAGUCGGCGAUUUAUGGCUAAAUCGGACCUUAACCGAGAAUCGGACGAUCUAAGUCGGCGAUUUUUUGACAAACUCGGCAAACUCUUGGGAGAGCUCGAACCGGAUUUUAAAAAAAUCGCGAUUACGACGGGAUACCGGUGGUUCGGUAGUCCCACAGACGGCGCCAGCUGAUGAAGCACUGAAUCUGCUACCAGGGCUCGCGGUGGUGCGAGGUUGAUGCCGGAGGCUUUGGAGUCAACGACGCACGCUCUACGUCAAAUACCUGCAAGUGAAACUAGGCGAUUCUAAUGAGACUCGCCGAAUUUCGUAGUGUAGUGCUCUGGUGUGAGAGUGGAAAUUGAAUCGUGCCUUUGAGUGUCCCCUUGGGACCCCUUUUAUAGGGUCUCGGAGGGCGCACUCAUCGGCGGAGAUAGCGUCUAUGGUCAUAUAUNNNNNNNNNNNNNNNNNNNNNNNNNNNNNNNNNNNNNNNNNNNNNNNNNNNNNNNNNNNNNNNNNNNNNNNNNNNNNNNNNNNNNNNNNNNNNNNNNNNNNNNNGUCUACCAUACUGCCGAUCUUGCCUUAACUCGGCGAGUUAUCCUGUAUGUCGGCGACUUGGUAGUCCAAUCGGGCGACUUUACGGGCUAACUCGGCGAUCUGGACGAAGAACGAUGUUCCGCACCGUGGGAGCUCUCCGGGGGUCCUGCCAUAGCGACGGAGCCCUAGUCCUUGUUGAGAGGCGUUGAUGGGUAGUGACUGGUGUAAUCAGCCAUGUCUCACCAUACGUCGUAUGUUACAUUAUCCUCGAGUUGUACUCAUUACUUAUUUUAUGUUGUAUUGACGCCUUUGGCGCAUGUACGUCAUGACGCACCUGAAACCUGCCCGAUAUAUAUAUUAUGAAUUUACUGAAUGUAAAUGAUAUGAAGAUCCAAAAUAUAUUUCAAACUAUUAAAGAUAAGAAAUACAAUACAGAUAUUCGGGCAGAAAUGAUUCAAAACAGAUUGAAAAUUCACAGAUGUAUGAUUUUUGAGAUUGACAAUCAGAUGAUGAUAAAUUCUAGGAUAAAGAUUAUCGAUUGGAGAGAAUAAUGAACGGCAAGAAGAUGGACGAAUAUGUUUAGAUUUGUAAAUCAAAUCUUAACAUAUGGAAUAUGGAUUAAUCAUUGUGAUUAUUUAUAAUCAUGUGUGCAACGGUUAUAAUUGUGAUAUAAUUAGUAUAAUUAUGAUAUAACUUCUAUAAUUGUGAUAUAAUUGCUAUAACACAAAUGAAUGAUGUAGACAGUCUUCUUUGCUAAAAAAAAUCAACAAAUGCAAGAAAACCAUUGGAACUUCGUUGUCCUUCUUCGAGGAAUGGAACUCAAAGAAGAAAAUCAGAAUCUAGAAAUUCAGAUAUGAUGUUGAAUUCAAGAAUCUAUCAUGAACAACUCAAGAUCUUUUGAGUCAAAAGUGUGUUUUAAAUUCUAAGAAUUAUGUUUUCAUUUUAAAUUCUAGAUAUGAUUGCAUUUAUGAAUUCUUACUGACUAACCAAAUUAGCCUAAUUAAUCAUAGUUAAUUAGGUAAUUAAGUAAUUGGUAGUGGGUAAUUACUCUAUCAUUCUUUUAACAAGAUGGAUUUGAGAUCUUCAUUCUUUCAACACACACAAUAUAAUGGAUUUGUCUGAUAAGAUGAUCGGAAUUCACGUCAGGUUCACCAAUGUUGAAAAGUUUCCAACUCAAUUGUCUCUCCCCUCUUCUAAACCCUACUUCAUAAGUAUUUAUAGCUCCCCUCAUGCUUCUGGCCUUGGGCCUCAACGUAUUUGGGCCUUGGGACCGAACCUAUUCUUCUAGGGUCGAAUGAAAGCCCAAGAUCGAAUUCUAAGGUUUUGGUAGAUGGUAUACUGAAAUUCGUAUCCGCUUUCGAAUUCGAAUGUUUAUUCGAAUUCGGAGACCAAAAAUGAUGUUGAAAAAUUAUCCAGACGGAUUCGGAUAUUUUCAAUACCCGUCGUUAAAAUUUUUAUUGGUUGAUAAUUUCGGAUACGAAUAUCCGAAUUUUUAUACUUUUAAAAUUUAAUUUAGAAUUUCUUAAGGUUGGAUUUUUCAAAAAUUUAUCCGAAUUCAAAAUCGAAAAUUAUCGAGACGGAUUCGGAUUAUUAAAUCCGUCCGAUAUACAGACCUUGAUAUUCGAUAAGCAAUCACUAUGCUUCGUCAAACAUAUAAUAUCAAGGAAGUUGGUGAGGAUUUAUACUUGUUGUGAUUAAUCAUAGAAAACUCUCAACUCUCAAGUAAUAAUACUUUGUGUUUGUUUUAAUGUGGUUUUAUUAAAUGAUAUGAAGAUUUCAUUUUCUACAAUAAAAACACUUGAUGGAUGUAGAUCAAAUGAGUUUUGUAAAAAAAAAAUAGUUUAGGCAGAAAAAAGACAUGCUAUUUAUAAUUAUUAAAGAAGAAGAGCAACAAAACAUAAAACAUAAAUCUCCAUUCACCCACCAUCAGGAAGAAAAUUAUUAUAGCAUUCUGUAAUCUACUUCUUGCCAACAUUAAAAACCCACCUACAGGGAAAAACUAAUUAAUCAAAUAUUCGAAGCACAAAUUACAGGUCAGGUCGGACAGCCAAAAUCGAUGGCAAAAAACCGCCACACUGAAUAAAUAAAAUAAACUCUGAGACAAGCUUUUGGAGCCUAUUAAUUGCCUAAGAAUGAGAGAAGAGUUUGUAAAUUAGGAAAGCCACACCUUCUUGAUUUUGAUUCAUAGCUUCAUAUGUAUUUACAGUGACGGCUUUCCAUGACAGAUCAUAGUUAUCAAUCAACUUAUCAUUAUCAGUGACCCGCAAGUCUUGGACCUGUAUACAAAUCGCCAUUUACAACAAAGUCUUCUGGCUUUCCCUUGGCCUCUAACCACGCAUACUCCUCGCCAUCUGACACCACCGAUUCAUUCGCCUCAUCUGAGAUGACCAAGAUUGAAUUUGAGGUUUGGUUAAUAUCAAAUUUUAAAUGAAACAAUAUUAAACAUUUGAACGUACAUACCAGAAAAGUUUUCGUAUGGGAAAACAUUGUAAUAUGUACAGUGUCUGCCUUCGGAGUCAGAGUAAGGUGGGCCAAGGACAUCGAGCACGACACAAGCUGUCACUGCAGUAAAGCAAUGAAUGUUGCCACCAGUAGUUGGAUACAAUAUGGAAGCACCACAUGAAGAUGUGAAAUUAGCAUCAGUUUUUGCCUUCGCCAACCUCACUUCGGGGGUUUGACCUACGACUGUGCAUAUGCAUGCCCACACAAUCACAAAAUAUAAGAAAGGAAAAAAUUAGAUUAUCGAAUCAAUUUUACAAUGGAUAUCUUACGAUGCGUGAGGUUGGGAUCAGCAGUGACAUUGCUAGAUUCAUCAGGAACAUCAACCCAAUCAUAUGACUUGAUAUGCAUGGUACCAUAUAAUAUCUUACUCAAGACUGUCAUUCCAGGAUGAUUGUGAAGAGGAAUAGCACUUGAAGGAGGCAGGCAGAAAAUACCAAUCUAUAUAACAAAAAAAGUAAUUAAAAGCUUAACAAAUUAACAAGAAAUAAUAUACAAAUCUGGAGAAAAGUGUUUCGAUGAUCAACCAUGAAGAAGGGAGGAAAAAAGGAUACAAAAAAAUAAAUUACCGAGAAUUUGCUACACUCGUAGACAUGCAAGUACGUAAUUGGACUCUUUCCAUUUGGCACACUGGCUUGCUUGAAAUAAGGCAUUUGGGGGGACAAAUUAAGAUCUGCCAGCUUCAUUCUAUCUGCAGUUCAAAUACACAUAUAGAUGCAUAUGUAAGUAAUUAGAAGAGCAUUGAAAUUUUGAUCAUCUGUAAAAAGAAACACCAACAAUGACAAAAGAAAAUCAGAUUUGAAAACAAAGCAUAAAAUGGCAAUGGCACAAAAUUUGGUAAUCAUCCCAUCUUUUUCUUCAUGUAGGAAACCCCUCCUACCAAAGCUCAUAACCAAACUAUCAAACCACAAGAACCCAUGAAGCCAGGGGUAAACAACCUCAAUGGUUUAACCUACCUACCACUUGACCAAGUUUCCCAUCUUUCCUUUAUGUAGAAAACCCCUCCAACCAAAGCUCAUAACCAAACUAUCAAACCACAAGAACCCAUGAAGCCAAGGGAAAACAACCUCAAUGGUUUAACACUUUAACCUACCUACCACUUGACCAAGUUUCCUAUCUUUUCUUCAUGUAGGAAACCCCUCCUACCAAAGCUCAUAACCAAACUAUCAAACCACAAGGACCCAUGAGGCCAGGGGCAAACAACUUCAAUGGUUUAACCUACCUACCACUUGACCAAAUUUCCCAUCUUUUCUUCACGUAGGCAACCCCUCCUACCAAAACUCAUAACCAAACUAUCAAACCACAAGAACCCAUGAAGCCAGAGGCAAACAACCUCAAAGGUUUAACCUACCUACGACUUGACCAAGUUGGUAUGGUUUGGGAAUCUUAAAAAGUUAAAAUAGACUCUUCAUCUUAGAAUCUGCUAAUUGACAAAAGCAAAACUCACAAACACCUAGACUGAUGGAUCGAUGCAACACAAAUCCUAUCUACAACUUAACCAAGUUGGCGUGGUUUGGGAAUCUUAAAAUAGACCCUCAUCUUAGAAUCGGCUAAAUGACAAAAGCAAAACUCAAAAACACCAAAACUGACGGACUGAUGCAUCAAUAUUAACAAGUACAUAUAUAAUUUUAUAUCCUUAGUUCGUUACAUCGUUACAGUAACUCUGAACUGUGAAGUAGUAGUUAGAGUUAGAUUAAAAUUUGUUACAGAGAAAAACAUAACCACAUACCUAAAAUAGAUUUGAUCCUGUCCAGAUCCUCCUGCGACGGAACGAUGCCAGGAUUGCUAGUAGAGAACACAUCCUUGCACGCCCUGAACAGCCUCAUCACCGUAUUCGGCAUCUGAGAUGACGAAGAUGAUUUCUUCUGCCGUCUUCUCUUUUUCUUCGACACCGGUUGACUGGAAGUUUCUGUUAACAACAACUCCUCAGUUUUCCCCUCCAACAACGCCUUCUCCACCCUCAUCAAACCAAACCUACUCCCACACCGUCUGAUCCGCUUUCCCUACCACCACGCCUCUCCUCGGAGGAAAAAACCGAUUUCGAAAAGAUGGUGAGUGCGAGACUGUCUAUUCCGACUAGCGAGGAUUGUACAGAUAGGAAAAAGUUUGAACCCAAUAAUACCAUUUUUUUAGAGCGAGGUGGCAGUCGGUACAAGUCUGAAGAGGAACGAAAACCAGGGGCUGAGAAUGGUUUUCGUCCUUGUCGGCUCUGUUUUUUUUUAGGGACGUUUUUUUUGCAUUCUCACCCUAUAUUUACUAUUUAUUUUUAUUUUUUCCCUUCUUCACUCUAAUGACAAUCAUUAUCAAAAAAAAUUGUCUAUUUAUUAAAAAGAAUCGUUAAACUUGCAACUACCUCAAGUUUUUUAAUGUAAACUUAGCACCUAAAAGUUUUUCAGGAAACUCUAUAAAAUCAACUUAGAGCUUUAUAGUUUAACUCAACCACUAUAAAAAACCAGCAUAGUUCUGACGAACGACCACAUUUAAUAAAUUCAAUUUCACUCCCCCCAUAAAACUCGGAAUUUCAACUUUUUUUUUCUAGGAAGUCAAUGGAAGCUCAGAUAAAUGAUCAGACGACCGCGGACCGCGAUCGACGUCACGCCUUUACUAGAGUAGGCGAAAACAAUAGAAAAAUCUAAGGAGUAAGUUAUAAUUUAUUAAAAAGAAAAACAAAAUCAAUAAGUUUAUCGUUUUGGUCGGGUCGUGAUAAUACAAAUACUAAAAAUGGAUAAAAAUUCAUGGAUCUCUUGAUUUGGAAAAUACCAUAUUAAAACCAUUUAAACUAUAAAAAUACUCAAACACCCUCGUAAAUUGGAUAAGGAAAGGGAAAAAAAAGAUCCACUUGAUUUUCAGUGCCCCCACUAAACCACUAACCACCCACUAGUCAAAAUUCAAAGGUGACUAAAUUCAUAAUAAUAUCAUAUUAGUGUCGUAAGUUUUGACAAGAUUAAUAAUAAUAUCGGUUUAGUAUUUGAUUCUAAAAAUACUAAACUUCUUAAAUAAUAAUAGAGGUAAAAUAAUAUUUUUAUAUAAAACCUCUUAAAUUUUAUAUAAAAUAUUGUACUUAUAAAAUAAUAAAAUAUACAUAUAGAUAAUUAUUAUUAUUAAAAUAAUUGUGUCUUGUUCGCAUCGUGUUGACAUAAUUUGAUUGCACGGAUCGUGUUCGUGUUAAUGAAAAAAUUAAUCGUGUCGUAUUACAUGAAUUGUCAAACCUACUCUUACAGGGUUCAAACUUGUGAUGCUCAGGAAAAUUUAAAGUGAUGAAUUAACUAGAGAGUUAUAAUUAAAGUUCUUACACAUCUGAAUAAGAAAAUCUUAUCUGAAAAUAAUCUUAUUAUUCUGACCGUCCAUUUAUUUUAUCAUUAAAAAAAAGUUAAUCUCGAAGUUGAGAAAAAUUUACAAAUUUUUUUUUUAAUGAAAGGUUCAAAUUAGAGAAGCGUUUUUUUUUGCUCAAAUUUACCGAAUUAAUUAUCAGAGUUUCCUAGCAACAUAAAACCCAACUACAAAGGCCACAGCAGCAACAGUAAUAAACCUUUUGUUCUUUUGCACAUUCUCUAUAAACCUCUCCAUCAUUCCAUCUUCUUCCUCAGCUCCGACAAUGAAGUCCGGCAGUAACUCGUAUUUCGCUUGCAUCUUACGAUUUGUACCUGUCUCUUCUUUGAUUCCUUUCUUCGGCAUGGUCAGUUUCAGGCGACCCUCGUCGAGUUUCCCGUUGAUUUGGUCGAUAUCCACAUCUUCUGGAACGUGGAAAUUUUGGUCGAAACGGUAGUAUUUGUUAUCAGUGGGUGCCAUUCUUUUCCCUUCGACCGUGAGCUUCCCAAAACGAUCGAUCUUUACCUUGAUAUCUUCCUUUUUGAAACCUAUAUAUAUCAUAAUUCAUCAACACAAGGAGAUUAACUCAACUGAUCACAUACUCGCAGUAACUAUUAAGAUUUCUGAAGAUUUAGAGGUUAGGUCUUGCUUUGUACAUAUUUUGAUUAAAUUUUCAUUACGGUAUAACCAAUAAUAUAUUAUGUGAUUUUGGUAUACCUAUGAUAUUUUUAUAUCAUGUAGAGAAAAAACUCUGAUCUUAUGCAAAUGGCACGUACCAGGAAGAUCCAAGGAUAGAAAAUGACUGGUGGGAUUCUGAGACCAAUCUGUUUCUGGUUUGAGUUCUUCAAAGAUUUGUUUGGAUUGUUCCUUUGCGACUCCUUCGGAGUUUCUCUUUCUUAGUCUUUUCAUGGUUGUUGAUUGCAGCAAUAAUAGAUUAAUAGCUAGGGAUUUAUAGGGAAGGAAAACCAUGGUCGAUUGAUUAUAGGUAGGUAAAUAAUGUAAGAUGCUUAUUCCAAACUUUCUUUGAAUUAUGAUGGAUUAAACAACACACAAAGUAUAUAUGAUUCAAUUCUUCAACCUAUUGUUUACAAUGAUUAGGUUUAGGAGACUGCAAGUAUAUAUGAUUCAAUUCUUCAACCUAUUGUUUACAAUGAUUAGGUUUAGGAGACGGUGCGUUGCCGCUACUGCUGCUUCCGCUGCCGAUUGGCAUGUAUGCUGCAACCUGCUUCCCAUUUUUCGCUUGUUGACUGAUUCCAGUGUUGGUCGACAAUGCUCUUUGAGGUAUAGUUUGAUAGAAAUAAGAUGAACGGGCAGUGUCUUUCAUGUCGAGAAUUGGCUUCAGUUCUUCGACGACUUCACUCAUUAGAGGUCUGGCUUUCGAAUCCCGGAUCAAGCACCUGUAAGCCAAAUGGGCAGCUUUCUGAGCUCCUUUCAUGGAGAAAUUACCUCCUAGGCGAGCAUCAAUUAGUCGAUAAAAUCGUCUACGGUCAACAAUGAGUGGUUUUGCCCAUUCUACCAAGUUGUGCUCACCAGUUGGGCGGGUUUUGUCCAUGGAUUUUCGCCCCGAAAGUAUUUCCAGUAGAACAACUCCAAAGCUGUAGACAUCGCUCUUAGAUGUUAAAUGUCCUGAAAACAAAAGGAAAAUUCAAUAACCAACCAACCAAUUCAGAAUAACUUGAUAUCAGAAACCUACCGGUCAUUACAUAUUCCGGAGCUGCAUAGCCGUACGUCCCCAUGACUCUGGUUGAAACAUGAGUGUUAUCUCCCUCAGGUCCAUCUUUAGCAAGCCCGAAGUCGGAUAGUUUUGCAUUAUAUUGCUGCACGGACAUAUAUUUCCUAUAGAGUCGUUUUACGUCAAAAAACAAGAAAGACGGAUGAAGAAUCAAUACAUACCAAAUCUAACAGGAUGUUGGAUGUUUUGAAAUCACGAUAUAUCACCGGUCUUUCAGCUUCUUGGUGCAGAAAAGCAAGUCCUUUUGCAGCACCAAGUGCGAUUUUCAUUCUGAUGAGCCAUGCCACUGGCUGUGAUCCUGUUGUUAUGAUUUCAAAUACCAUUUAGGGUUUGAGAGAGAAAAAUCAUCAAUUAAAAUGAAACAAACAAACACAGAAUAAUAACUACGAGCGUACUUCGAAAGAGAUGGUUUUCUAAACUUCCACGAGGCAGAAACUCAUAUGCUAGUAAUCUUUGAUCAUUUUCAAUGCAGUAUCCAAUCAACUUAACUAAAUUCGGAUGGAUUAGAUCUCCGAGAAAUUUCACCUCAGCCUGCAUGCAGGAUUAAUCAGCAAUUAAUGUGUGAAUGUAAAUUUGACAAUAUGAUAUGCAUGUAUAUAUACCAGCCAUUCUUUGUGUCCUUGAAGUCCGUCGUGAUUGAGCGUCUUAACCGCGACAGUGAGACCAGUGCCUGGUCUCACGGGAGCUGUUCCAUUCUCUUCGAUCCAACCCUUGAAAACGCAACCAAAACCCCCUUCUCCAAGAAGACUCUCUGGUCUGAAAUUUCUUGUGGCAGUUUUAAGUUCGUUGAACGUGAAUUUCCGGAGUUGCGAUGCGAUCUUUAGAUCAUCAGAUGCAACCUUUGGGGUUGAUGAAUUACUUUCAUCGUAACUAGUUGCAGAAGAGCAUGAUGCAGCAGCCAAAUUGGGCUGGUUUUCUUUGCUACCUUCAUCUGAAGAUCUAGGGUUCUCUAGUAUCCAAUGCACACAAAGUCACAAACCACUAUUUCCAAUUCACAUCAGAUUAAACCCUAAUAACAUUUCUAACAUCGCAGUAUAAAUCAAACAUCCAAAAGGGGAUAAAAAUAGCAAUCAAAAUUCCACAUACCUGCACAUAUAAUGGUACUAGUGGUACUGUUACUACCAUCAACCUUGGAUCUGGAACUGAUACAACCUCGAACAACCCUAAGUCCAACCCAACAACCAUUCCCGUCUUCACUCUUUUUCUUCUUCACCUUUUCCACCUUCUCUGCCGAAGUUUUCUUCUUGUUCCUCCAAAUAUAUUUUACUUUUCCAAUUCCUUCCCAUACCUCAAUAGCAUCGGGACCCAACCCCAUCGUCUUCCCAACAAUAGAAAAUUCCGCCUAAAAAAGACACAGGUUUGGGAGUUUUUCGCCGUCACGCAAUCGAAUUCUUCCAAGAAAACACACAACACGGAAAUCUAUAACAUUAGCGACAUCCUCCUGAACGCCUCUCUUUCUCCAACAGACAGAUGUCCCGAGAAAUGAGGGCAUAAAGGGGAGGUCGACACCACCGGCAAUGACUCCCCGUCGACAGCCGAGGAGAACGGAAAGGACGGAGCUUUUCGAGGUGAAGUGAGAAUAGAGGGAGACGGAACUACUGGGGGAGAAAUCUGUGUGAUUGAAUUGAUAAAUAAUAUAAUAAUGUCAGGUCCAACACAGGGGUAUAUUUCAAAUUAUUCAAAGAAUGAGGGUGUUGCUCGUCUAAAGAAAGGCGGAAAAAAAUACAACGACAACACGUGUUUAACACGUCACACGUGUCUACAUAGAUUGUGGACGGUAGUUUUUAUCAACAUUCAACGCUGAAUACGACAUUUUGACUUUUCUUCUUUCUUAUCGGGCAGAUACAUGAUCCGGUAUUAAAAUCCGAUCCGAAUUCUUUUGGGGGCGGGGGAGGGGGGCAACGAUCUGAAAUUCUGAAUUGUGACGGGGAGUUUGGGGAGAAGAAAUAAUGUUUUGGAAGGAGAAGGAGAGAAGAAAUAGGGACAAAGAUGGAGGACCGCCUUGCGGUCAGGUUCGUGUUCUUGUGGUUGGCGAUUCCGGUAAUCGGUUGUUGAUUCUUAUUCUUUUUUAGUUCUCUUUUAAUGAUCGAUACUGUUUUUACGUUCUAUUGCAUUUCUCCGAUGAUCUGAUAUAAGGUAAUGAGACGAUUUUUUUUUGGACGAUUUGGUGUGAAUUUGGGUGUUGAUGUGUGUAUUGUGAAGUCAAGGGAUCUAUAUGAUUUUGUGUUUUGGAAUGAUUUUUUUUUAUAUGAGUCAGUGGAAAUAGUAGUUUUGAUUUGUUGUUAGUUUAUAUACUUUGUCUUUUCUUUUCUUCUGUGUACAUGCUUUUAAAUUUUUAGUGUUGAAAUGUUGAAUAUAAUUUUAACAUGAAUGAUGAGUUCACUUGUAUUUAGAUCGCACCUUAAGGGAAUGAAAGAGAAAAUUCAAAUGCCUUCUAAUGUAUAUAAUUUCAGUGAAAAUAUUUUUACCUUAAUCUUGAAACAAUUUGUACUGAAUUACUGAAAUAGUGAAAUAUAAUUUAUUUCUUGUUUUUAUUGCUCAAUUUGAAAUCUAAUGUUGUUUUUUUGAAGAUUGGUUGACUUAACUAUGAAUGUUUAUUGAGAUUUCCCAGAAAUGUUUAGAAAUGAUUUCCAAAAUCGUGAAAAUGGGAACAAAAAUGUUAAGUAGGAAAUAGUCUUAUUCUCUAAGUAGAAAUGAUCAAAUUUUAGAAUUAUAGAAUGUAUAUAUAUAAGUAUAUUUUAGUUGAGGAUCAAAAUGAUAAUCAUUUGGCAAAACUAAUGGUUCUGGGAAAUUUUUGGAAUAAUCUGUUGACUACACUGUUUAACAAAUAGUGUGAAAUGAUUGAAUGAAAUACAAAUAGUAUGGACUAUGAUUUUUUGUUAGCAAAAAAGAGGAAUCAAAUGAUUCAAUGUGUAUUUUUUUAUAAGACAGCAAUAAGCUACAGCCAUGCUACAGUUUGUUUCGUUCCCUAAAUAAACACUCAAAAAAUCCAUUGGACAAGCGGAUUUACAUGUCUUGUGACCUAUGCAGUAUGAACAGAUCUCAAAGUUUUUUUUUGGAGGGGGAAAAUAUCAUCUUUUAUUACUUUUAGGUUUCUUUCUUAGUUUCUUUUCUUGUUAUCAUAACAAUAUGUAGGUUGUUAACAAUAACAUAGCAACCUGCGCCACGUAUUUCAUUUUGUUAGAAUAUGACUUUUCUAUUUUUUUUUCUUUGUUCUUUCAAAUUCCUUAUCACAUUGCUAUCUGAAUGCCAUGACAGGUGUUGGAAAAACAUCACUUGUACAUCUUAUUACUGCAGGCUCUGCCAUUCCUCAUCCAAAUAAUACAGUUGGAUGUACAGUCAAUGUAAAGGUCAGGUUUACCCUUUUUAAUUAAUCAAGACGAGUUAAAUCAUACUACUUUUUAUUUUUUUCUGAAGAUUUUCAUAUUUUUAAUAUCCAGCAUACUACUUAUAGACAUUCUGGUAGUUCUUCUAGUGUGAAAGGAGACACGGAAAGGGAUUUCUUUGUUGAGCUUUGGGAUAUCUCUGGUCACGAAAGAUAUAAGGAUUGCCGAGCAGUUUUUUACAAACAAAUCAAUGGUGAGAAAUAGAUUGUCAACAUUUUAGGUACCUUAAUUUUCAUGGUCAUCCUUAGACUUUCUACUUCUUGGUAUUCACAUUCAAUUGGAAUUUAGUUUGUUCGUCAACGGAGUUUGUUUUUUUAAAUUGAAGUUAUGUUAUUCAACUUGAACCAUUUAGAUCUGACCUCUCCUCCCUCAAAAUUAGGUGUUUUAUUCGUUCAUGAUCUUUCUCAAAGAAAUACGAAGUCAAACUUGCAGAAAUGGGCAUCAGAAAUUGCAUUAAAUGGAUCAUUCUCAGCUCCUUUAGAAUCAUAUGGACCUUGUGGUCUUCCCAUUCCAUACCUUGUUAUCGGCAACAAAGUUGAUAUCGCCGAGAAACAGCGUACAACUGGAAGCAGUGGUAAUCUUGUUGAUGCAGCUCGGCUGUGGGUUGAAAAGCAGGGUCUACUUUCAAUCAGUGAAGAACUUCCUGUCACGAAUAGCUUUCCAGCAAAUACAGGACUUAUUUCGGUAAAUUAUCAUCUUCAUCACGUAUCAGUGAUACAGUAUCACACAUGGCUUUGUUAAUGAUCUUGUUAUCACGAUAGAUUUUUGGUGUUUUAUAACUUCUAUUGUGUUAGAAACAUUGUAUUUUUGGUACAGUUUACGGUACCAAAAUGUUGGAACAAUGAGUUUUCCUUUUUGAGCAUGUUCAAAGUUAACCUUAGUAUUACUAACUCUGAACAUGUCUAUAGAUUUUUAGUUAGUCAUUCUGAUCAGUGAUCAUGGACUCAUGGUCAAAGUUGCUAUCUCUGAACAUGUCCAAAUAGAAUAAAUCCAAUAUUCGAGUUUUGGGAUGGUUAACUGCAACAUAUUUUUGGAUGAAAUACUAUUUAUAGUUAAUAAAAUAAAAGAGAAGGAUUCUAUAUUUGUAUUACAAUUACAAAUAAAAUAUACUUUCAUAUUAUUAUAUUGAUUAUAAGGGCAAAUAAAAAAUAAUAUUAAGAAUCAUGAAAUUCUGAAUCAUCGAACAAAACAAUAUUUUGAUUAUUUUCAUAUUUUCUUGAAAAAAAUGCAUCAUGAAAAUGUCAAAUAUUGUGGUCAAAUUUUCACAACCAUUCGUGUAAGUUUCAUGCUGUAGUCAAAUUCACAAGGAUAUUAGCAACUUCUUUGAUGGUAAUUCAUACAAAAAAAAAACAAUUGAAAUUCAAUUGAGGAUAAUGUGUAAUUGUUUGAAAUUCCAAUUCCUUGAGACAUCUCGAAUCUCAAUGCUGUCAAAGGAAGUCGGAAACCAUAUAAGGAGAGGACGAUGAGCCUGCUCAUCUCCCAUAAUCUUUUCAUUGUAACCUAGGCUUUGCCUUUUUCAUUUCUUAAGCUUAGAAACUUCAUAACAAAAGCAGUUUACAGAAACUUUUACUUAUAGUGUGAAUUACUCUCGUGCUGUUCUUUUCAUUUACACAUCUUUUGAGAAACUAUGAAUUUGUGAUUCCUAUUUUUAUUUCUAAACUUUCAUUUUUUUUAAAUUCUUAUGAAACCAGCAUACCUAUUUUUUAUAUUGACUAAUUUGACUGACAUUCGUUUUUACAUUGCUUGAAUCUUUACAGGCAGCCAAAGAUGCAAGAUUUGACAAGGAGUCUAUACUAAAGUUUUUUCACACAGUUAGCAUCUCGCAAUCUAAGUGCACACAUAUUUUGUUACAUUUCGAAAAUUCAGAAACUGAUGCAAACAUUUUAUUUUUCAGUUGAUCAGAAGAAGAUACUUUUCCGAUGAACUACCUUCUCAAAAUACUUGGUCUGCAUCUCCUAUACAAAAUUCUAUUUACCAUUCAGAUGAGAUUUCAUUUGAGGACGAUAAAUACAACAAGAGUUUUAGGUAAAUCCGUAAAUCCAUUUUAGAAACAAGACCAAUGGUAUUUUAUUUGACAAAUUGCUACAAAAAAUUCCUGUUUGCUAUGAUAGUUCGUUUCAUCAGAAUAAUAAAAUUUCAAGUGAAUUAUGAUUGCAGCUCAAGUAGUGAAGCUUACAGAAGCAACACCCUCCCACCACUUCCUGCACAGCGCAACCUAAUGCCACCUCCAACGUUCUAUCCUCAGCAGCCAGUGGCCAUUUCCGAUAGCUUUGAUCACCAAAGAUUCACAACAUCCGAAAUCAGCAACACAAGUUCUAAAAGAUCAGAUAUUAACGUUUGACUCCCACCAUGUAUGUAUCUAAAAAUGUCUAAUUGUGUAUGUUAUUGUUUUGUGAUAUGAAAAAUAUAGAGAUUUUGCAACUCUCUUUUCACAUAUAUCAAAAUGUCUACUUUUAACUAUAAUUAGGGGCGAUAAUGGAUCAGAAUUUGCCCAUCGAACCCGUUACCCAUUUAAUAGAAAUACCCAUUCGGCCAUUACCCGCCCAAUAGAAUAUAUUUGUUUUUAAUUUAUUUCCUUUCGCUAGAUGAUUGUGGCUUCAAGAUUUAGUAUAUCUACGACCGUCAGAUCAGAAUGGAUAUCAUAAUUUUAAAAAACAAAGAAGCGUGUUAAAACUAUCUUCUUACUAUUGGAGUUAAUUGUAUUGAAAUUAAUUGAAAAGAGUUAUUUGUAAUUAUUUUAAUGAACAAUUAAUUAAAUUAUAAGGAAGGCAUAAAUUAGAUGGAGAAUAUUUUUUAUGGACUGAUAAUUUUUAUUGGGUCUGUCGGAAGUGGAUGGCUAUGAUUAGGCACGUUUCUCUAGAUAACUAAUUAUAAAUAACGCUUAUAAUGUUGUUGGAUAUUUUUCUGCCGACUGUAAUUCUUGUCACCAAAGGUAGGAGAAACCCAAUCACCUCUCAGGGAAUAAGUACAACUGAACAUCGUUAACAAAACAUUCUGUUUUAUUGUGUGUUUUUAUUUCAACUUCCUCCACUUCUAUUUUUUCUGAUAUAAUUACACGUUUCAAAUCAGGACUUUUGUGUGAAUGGUGUGAGGUCAUAAUUGAGAAAAUAAAGAGAGCCAUCAUUCUCGUGUAAAGUAGAGAGAAUCUGAUAGGGAGACAUCAUAUCUAUUCGUGGAUUGUAAAUCGACUUAUACUUCUUACACAAAAUCAUGUGUUCUUGUCUAUGUAAACUCCUGUAUCGGCUUUCUUUUUUAUCAACUCUGGCGAAGAUGUAUGUAGUGAAGAGAGAUGGGCGUCAAGAAAAGGUGUGCUUCAGGAUCUACAAUGGUAUUACUACGACGGUACGAGUACGACCCUACUCGUCUCACUACCGAAACUGCCCCAGCUAUGUUCAGGUUUGGUUUUGUUAAUUUGAAUUUUCUUUACAUCUUUGUUUUUUAUUGUAACAUUUUUUUGAUGUUGAUGAUGAAUUUGGUGAUAGCUUGCAACAAGGAUUGUGGUAUGGGAUCUUCACAAGAAUACCAGUAGAUCGAUUUGCGAAAUGUGAGAAUAUUUUCUAUUCACUCUGAUACCAUGGUUUCAAGUGUGAAGAUCAUAUAUCAUAACUACGACGAGUGGAGCAAGAUGAAGGAAGGCGUCAUUGAUAGCCGAAGAUGUUUACAAAUUUAUCACCAAUGCAAUUUCCUUUAACCCAACCCUCUUAUGAUUAAUGAAAAUAUUUAACUGCUUCAAAAAAAAACUCGCCAAUUCCGGAACCCCUAAACUCAGGUAUUUAACCAUUAAUUCCGUGUAUUCGAUAACCAAUUAACUUGUUGAUGGUAUUAUCAUGUCUUUCUUUGCCAAUUAAGUAGUUGUUUCCUUAUAUGCGCGGAAAAAGACAGUAUGUGCGAAAGGAACACAGGGCAAGGGACUUGUUCUAUGUUCUUCGGAUGCCAGAUUUAUUCAUGCAAAGAGUGAAAGAUCACAGGUAAUGGUCAUUAAUCAUUAUUCUGUCCAAAUGAGGAUCCAGGCAUAGCAAACUGCUGGGGUGAUCAAAUUGAAGAAUUGUAUAUCAGAUAUGAAAAACUGGUUUGUUUCUAAUCAAUUUAAUGAAUUGAGUAACAUGUUGAUGAUUGAAAUCCAAAUUUUCAGGGGAAAACCAUAAAGAUUCUCUCUGCACAAAAUCUCUGGUUUAAAAUCUUGGAGUCUCAAGUAAAACCCGGCACACCUUAUAUGCUUUUCAAGGUAUCAAAAAUCAUCAUAUUGAUCUUUCAAAGAUUAUCCAUCAUCUUUAGUAAAAUCUUUGUUGUAUUUCACCUAAUGUAGGAAUUAGGAUACAAAUAAUCGAAAGAGCAAUCAACAAAAUCUUGGGACAUUUAAGUCUUUCAACUCAUGCACCAAGAUCAUCCAAUUUAGUGAAUUUACCAGUCCAGAUGAAACUGCAGUUUGCAACUUGGCUUCCAAUGCUUUACCUAGAUUUGUCAGAGAUAAGUCAUUAGUCGAGAACAACAGUAAAUGCAAUCUUGUUUGCCAGCAUUGGAUCCAAUAAUAGAUAUUUUGAUUUUGACAAGUUAGCAGAGGUUACAUUUAUAGUUACCUUGAACCUCAAUGAGAUAAUUGAUGUGAGCUUAUAUCCAGUUGAAGCUGCAAAGAGAUCAAAUCUUUAUCAAAGAUCGAUUGGCAUAGGAGUGCAAUUUGAUUCCUAGAUUUUACACGGCAUGCAAUUUGAUUCGCUAGAGGCUAGACAACUGAAUAGAGAUAUAUUUGAGAGCUGAGACUCUAUAUUAGUAUUCCUUAAAGGCUUCUUGCAAACUUGCUUCAAACCAAGACAAUUAUGAAUCUUACCAAGGUUGUCCUAUGAGCAAGAUAAUCCUUUAACCUGAUAUGUGGGAUGUUGUGCCAUCUGAUCGUUGGGAGUGGACAACAUUGAGAGUCAUGGUAUCCACAAGCAGAGUGCGAAAUUCUCUUCUUAUAGUUCCUAUUGCCAACAACUUACACCCAAUCAGAUUCUCAGCAACAAUGAAUGCUUUGAGCCUUACACAUCAAAUAUAUACAGUCGAAGGAUUCUGAGUGAUGAAUUUGUUGUGGUAAACAAACACCUUCUAUAUGUUUUAACACAGAUGAACCUUCGGUCUAUUUCUAUGAAGAAUAAGAUCAUUCAUCACAACAGUUCUUUAGCGAAGAUUUCAGAAAUACCGACGAGAUCAUUUGAAAGCAAUUUAUAAGACUGUGUGAGACAUUAAGCAAAUGACAUUGGUUGACAUGGAAGCCUUCAUUGAUCACAGUCGAAACCUGAACAUUCAUAUGGACCAACCUACCAAUAAUGGCAAGCUCACUUCCCUACACUUUUACGCUUGGUCAAAGAGACUCAAAACUGGAAUGUAUUACCUUCGAACCAGAUCCGCAGCUGAUGAAAUCAAGUUCACCGUAGAAUAGAUCUCGGUGGAGUUAGGAUGAGAUGUGUCUCUUACCAUAAAUUUAUGAAUGAUGUUAUCCAAUUCAAUCCAACUGUAAGCUGUGCAUUUUGUUACAUGUUUAUCUUUCAUCAACCUUCUCAUUUUUACUGCUUCUCUCCAUCUUCCGGCACUGCCGUAGAUAUUAGCCAUAAGAACAUAAUUCGCAGAGUUAUCAGGUUCCAUUGCUUGCAGCUUUUCCAUGGCGACUUCAGCAAGCUCUACAUGGGAGGAAUCAACUCUACAUGCACUGAGUAAUGUCCCCCAAAUUAUCACAUUAGGCUCAACAUCCAUCUCAUGUAUAAACAUGUAGGCAUCUUCCAAUCUCCCACACUUACACAGAAGAUCUACAAUGCACGCUGAAUGUUCCACUUUUGGGUUCAUGUUAUACUUUACUUUCAUGCUGUUGUAAAAUUGAAGCCCCAAUUCCACCAGGCCGGCAUGCGUGCACGCAGUUAACAAUGCGAUAAAGGUCAGCUCCGUCGGUACUUCUAAUUCUCUUUCAACCAUCGUUCGAUACAGAUCAAUGGCUUCGUUUGCAAGGCCGUUAUACGCUAAUCCUCUGAUCAUUGAGUUCCAUGAUACAAUGUCCUUAUAAGGCAUUUCGUCAAACACCUUUCUCGCUUUUCUUAUGUUCCCGCACUUUGAAUACAUAUCCACCAACGCUGAACCAAUAUAGAUAUUUUGAGUGCUUGUAUGCUCCUCCACGUAUCUUCCAAUGCGUUCUCCAGUUUCUACCGAACCCAACUGACCACAAGCAGAAAGAACACAUGUAAGUGUGAUCUUAUUAGGUUUAACUCUGGUUUCCAAUUUCAUCUUCUCAAAAAGGUCAAGCGCAUCUUUGGGUCUUCCAUUCUGAGCAUAUCCGGAUAUCAUUGCAGUCCAUGCAACAAUAUCUCGAUGAUCCAUUUCGUCAAACUCCAGCCGUGCCUCAUCGACAGAGCCUCCUUUGACAAGCAUCUCCAAAACUGCAGUACGUACAAUCAAACCUCCCAUCUUUUCAUUCCCGUCGAUUAAUUUCUUGAUUUUCAAUCCCAUCUCCAAGUCACCCAAUCUCGCACACAUUGACAGAAUUGUAACAAGAGUGAUCUCAUUUGCCUCGACUUUCUCCAAUUGCAUUCUUUGGAACAGAAUCAGUCCUUCCAUCACGUUGUCACUGUGAGCAUAGCAAGAUAUCAUGGAAUUCCAAGUAACUAAACUCUUCUCAGUCAUUUCAUCAAACAGUUGACGUGCUGCAAGAACAUCACCAGCCUUGGAAUACCCAGAUAUCAAACAGUUGUAAGUCACAGGAUCUUUAACAGGCACCUCUUCAAAAACCUUCCUAGCCGAACUCAAAUCUUCAUUCUUCGAGUAGAAAUCGAUCAUCGCAGUCAGAAUGAAGGAAUUGGACCAAAACCCACUUCGCACAAUAUGAGAAUGCAGCUGUUUCCCCUCAUGAAAAGCCGAAAACAAAGCACAAGCUUUGAUGACAGGUGGAAUAGAGAAGAAUGCGAGUUGGGUUCCCCUCCGAUGCGACGAAAAGAAGACCUCCAAAGCUUCGCUAUAAAGAGAUAGCUUGGAGCAAGUCGCAACAAUGGAGUUAGUUAAAAUGGAAUCUGGUUUCGGAAUUGUAUCAAACAUCUGCAGUGCGUAGCUGAUGGUCGUCGGAUUUUGUAAAUAUCUGACAAGUAAAGGUGUUAAAUUCGGAUAAAUCCUGACGACCACCGUGUGGAUUUCCCUGAUACGAUCUGGCCGAAGUGCAGUAGAUUUCAACAGAGACAGAAGGUAUUUUUCUUCCAUCUCCCAAACAAAUUCAAAUCAAUCGAUUUUUUUCUCAUUUUAUAAUCCUAAUAAAAUAAUAAAUUGUAUUUACAUCCAAAACUAUAUCAAAAAUUACAAAUACAUCCAUUAGAAUCUGUUAUUCAGAGAUUUUUUUAUUCCAUUCAUAUUGGAAUGAGAUGAGACGAAAAUAUUCGUCAUUAUAUAAAACAACUUGUCACUUGUCAGUGAUCGUAGACGACAGAUUUCUGACUAGAUUCUCCGAUUUCGCCAUCUUUAACAACCUGUCGACGGCGAAAGGGAUCGGCAUUUUCUGAUCGGAAGAAGACAAAGCUCGAUGGACGCAGUGAAAUGGAUACUCCUUCCUCUUCUGUUCCUAAUCGCAUCUGUUAUUAUUCUCUACACCCAAUCCAAUCACGAGGUAGUUUAAUCAUCGAUCCCCUCAAUCUCCUUUCCGAUUUUCACCGUCGCUUAAUUUGCUUCCCAUUUUCCAGGUGCAAAACCAAUCGGAUGGGUGUAGCUUACUUCCGCAUAGCCGGUACCGGAUUCGCAGCACCCGGAUCGUGACGCCGGAAGGGGUGAUUUCUGGAUUAUGUAUAUGCUUAUUUAUACUGAAUGACAAUAACUCAGUUCAUUGAUUUAGUCAGAAUUGGUGAUUGAUUUAUCUCUGACAUUGGUUCAGUGGAAAUCAGAGGAGGGCUGAUUGCGGCGGUUGUCGAAGGAGGAGGUGGAGGAGGUGAAGGACCAGUUCUUGAUUAUGGAGAUUCUGUAGUCAUGCCUGGUUUGAUUGAUGUGUGAGUUUUUCAUUUCUGUUUAAUUUAUUUGUUCUUUAAAAUCUUAUUUUUAAUUUUAAUUUUGGUAUUACUAAAACAGCCAUGCACAUCUUGAUGAGCCUGGGAGAGCGGAUUGGGAAGGGUUCUAUACUGGAACAAAAGCUGCAGCUGCUGGUGAUUCAUUCUUUUCAACAAUAGUUACUGAUUACUGAUUAUAGUAGUAUAUAAAUUCAGAAACUCUAAUCAAUUUGUGAAUAUGAUUCUGAUAGGGGGUGUGACAACAUUGAUCGAUAUGCCUCUUAAUAGCUUUCCAUCAACUGUAUCUGAACAGACAUUGAGACUUAAGGUCAUGGUAUUUUUACAUCCAUUGUUUCUAUUACUUCUCUAUCAUUCUAACAGUCCAAAAUUUCGGUGAUCUGUAGGGGAUUGGUUGUGGUGUGUACCUUGGUGUUUUAUACUUUUAUUACUCCUAGAAAGUAGUGCUCCACCUUAUUCAUAGAGUUUUUGAAUAGAGAGUUCAUGUUGUAGGUAGGGAGUUUCUGGUUGUUAGGUUCGUUAGCGAAGACUAGUGAUAGUUCAUUGAGGUUCUUGGAUAGGGAGAUCUCCGAUACCAUGAGCGAAUUGAUGAUGACGAAGGUUGAGAGUUAGAACAGAGUAUAUAGGUAGAGGAGGUGAACGAUAUUUGGAGUGAGUUAAGGAAAAUUUUAUCACCUCUAUUUAUAUGUGUAUGUAAGUAUUUCCUUAUGUUUCUUCUAUAGUCUAAUACAGAUCAAAGCAGCUCGUGACAAGCUCUAUGUUGAUGUAGGUAUGUAAAUAUUUUCAAAUCUAAAUUUAUGAAACCUUUUAAUUUCAAUUCUUCGGUUUAUUUUUAAAUUCUAUGAUGAUAAUCGAAUUUAGGGUUUUGGGGAGGACUUGUGCCAGAAAAUGCAUUUAACCAGACUGUACUGGAGAAACUUCUUGAUGCCGGUGCCCUUGGUCUUAAAGUAAUCGAACGAACACCUAUUCGAUCCUUUGAAUCUUUGAGAAUAUUCUUUUAAUUACUUCCUGAUUUUUUUCUCUCCAUUCUUUCUUCUUCUUCUUCUAGUCAUUCAUGUGCCCAUCUGGAAUAAAUGAUUUUCCAAUGACAAAUGCAACUCAUAUCAAGGUUGGUUGAUGGUUUGAUUUCUUAAUCCUUAUUUAUAACAUAACAUGUAUCCAUUACUCAAAUUUAUAAACACUGGUCAUUCUACAUAGGAAGGACUAUACACUCUAGCCAAAUACAAAAGGCCUUUACUUGUUCAUGCUGAGAUGCAACUAGAUUCAGAAGAUGACAAUAAUGAAACCAAUGAUGAUGUUUCUGAUCCUCGUUCAUACUCAACAUAUCUCAAGACUAGACCACCAUCAUGGUAAAAGAUAUUCUUCGCAUUCUAAGCUUUAAAUUGUUGGAUUAAACAAUUUAUUUUUUGCGCGCAAUUUGAACACCAUAUAUGAUUUUAAAGGGAGGAGGCAGCGAUCAGAGAGUUGCAUAGUGUAGCAUAUGAAACAAGAACUGGUGGGCGGGCAGAAGGAGCCCAUAUCCAUAUUGUUCAUCUUUCAGAUUCACAAGCUUCACUCAAUAUCAUCAAGGUAUAUUUUCUGUGUACAAUAUUUUCUUGAAAUUUACUUCAAUCACAAUCAAUCCUAAACAUAUUUGUGUCAAAAAUAUAGGAUGCAAAAACAAGUGGUUCAAGUGUAACUGUUGAAACAUGCCCACAUUACCUAGCCUUCUCAUCAGAACAAAUCCCUUAUGGAGAUACGAGAUUCAAGUGCUCUCCACCAAUCCGUAACGAAGUCAAUAGAAUGAAUCUGUGGCAAGCUUUAAUGGUACUAUAUAUUAAUUAUAUCUAUGUAAAAGGUUAGUUAAUAUUGUUGAAAAUCCAAGUUCCUUUUUAGGAUGGGCAUAUCGACUUUUUAAGCUCAGAUCAUUCACCUAGUCUACCUGAACUUAAGCUCUUGGAUGAUGGCGAUUUUCUAAAAGCAUGGGGCGGUAUCUCAUCUUUACAGGCAAUUUUCUAUUGAAUUUCAUUUUUUUCUUCUCCUUAUGCCUCUUCCAUGGUUCUCCUAAUUCAGAAGCCCUACUCUAUUUGUAGUUUGUUCUUCCCAUAACAUGGUCAUAUGGAAAAAAGUUUGGAAUCACUUUAAAUCAAUUAGCUAAAUGGUGGAGCGAAAGACCGGCAAAACUCUCAGGCCAAGAGUUGAAGGUGAUUUGUAUACAUUAUAUUAAAGUACAAUACUUGUUAAUUUACAUGAUUAAUUAACUGGAUUUUUCAGGGUGCCAUUGUUAGCGGGAAUCAUGCUGAUCUUGUUAUUUGGGACUCUGAUGUUGAGUAUGAACUGGAUGAAAAUCACGAUGUUCAUCAUAAGCAUCGUGUAUGAAAUCAUUAACAAACUUACCUUGUGUCUGAUUUUGUUAUAUUGACAAACUUAGAUUUGGUUCUUCUUUGAAGCAUGCAUUCAUUGAUUAUAUCCAUAGGCGUACUAAAUCAACAUUAAUUAUUUUGCAGAAUAUAUCAGCAUACAUGGGAACAAAACUCUUUGGAAAGGUUAUUUCUACAUUCGUUAGAGGUUCUCUUGUUUAUAACAAUGGAAAACAUGCAGCAAUGGCUUGUAGAGACCCUAUAUUGGCGACAUAACUCAAUUAUUCAAGUCUUUUCAAGGUUAAUGCCUUAGAUGAAUUAAUAUAUUUGUAGGGCUUACUUCCUAGUUCAUAUAAGUUGUGGAAUUGUAUGUAUAUUUGGCGGAGUUCCAUAUCGUAUGUACCCUAGAUGGAAUAGCGGAACUACAUAUCAGUAAAUGUGUUGUUCUAACAUGUUGUUUCAUACCUUGUCGUGUGCCCGUUAUUGUAUAUGUCGAGUCAUGUAUCCUUCUGAUAUUGUUUUUUAUUUAUUCUGAUCAAACUUUUAGUGAUCGAACACUUAUUUUUAAUGCUCUUUGUGAACACCUCUAAUGAGAUUUUGCCUGGUUCAUCUCUCACUCAAAUUGAAAUUUAAAAUUUGUGUUUCUAAUGUCUCUGUCGUCGUCGCAAGUGAGUCGGAAGUAGCGUAAAAAGGAGCGGAGCCGGAGGGUGGAAGAAGGUCUCCCGAAGGAGCCAGAGGUUCUAAAAGGAGAUUACUUUUUUUAAACUUGAUUGAUGAGACUAGCUCACCGGUGUCCUUUAUUUAUAUUGUCUACUGACCAUUUAACAACUGUAAAACUAAUUUCCUAAUUACAAUGUUUAGUAAUUUGUAACCAAUUUAGUAGUAAAUGAAGUCUUUAUGACUAUUGGGCCUUCGGGUGCAAGGCCCAAUCUUUUCUACCGGACUUUCCGUUGCAGGUGGUGCUCCAGCGGGAUUCUUCAGCCGUAGUUCCUUCUUCAUUCGUCCGGAUAUUUUGUUGGUGUCUAGCUGCACCAUCACAGUCUUUCGUAUCUCCAUGUGCUAACAUUUCACGUAUUUUAAUAUAGUAAUGUUUAGUAUACAAGAAAAGAUAUUUAGUAUGAUUUGAGGUCGGUGAAGUACUGAAGUUCAAUGGUAGAUUUUUGAACUACACUGUAGAUUCGCGCCCCCUACUCUACCGUGAGUAUCAAAUCUUAGUUUUCUCUCAUUUUGAACUUCUAUUUUUUAAAGAGGGAAUUCCUAACCAGUUAGUCGGGUCAAAAGAUCCGACCCAGUUAUAAAUUUUGGAAUUCCUAUAUAAAUUUUGGAAUUCACAACAGGGAAAUCAUUCCAGUUUACAGGUAUUUUCGGUUAAAUCUUUUGGGUUCUAUUUGUUCUGUUCUCAUUCCUACGUUCUUCCUGGAUCUAGGGUUCAUCGAUUUCACUUCAUCUUCUUGUCAGCUCUUUCUCCGUUCAUCGGCGAACAUUCAUUUCUUUCUAGUCCUUAUCUCAAGUCUCUAGUAUUUCUUGAUUUUGUUUUCUACAAUUUACGUUCUUGCUGUACUUUCUGUAAUUACAUUGAAUCUGGAUGUUCUUUGUAUGUUAAUAGAAUUUCUUCAUCUUUUCAUAUUUGAAUAAUGUGUAUUGUCGUUUGUGAAAGUUGAAUCUUAGUUCUUGAAUUUUAUAAGUUUAGUUUAGUUUAGUUUUCAUAUGGUUCUUGUCUAUCUCAAAAGAGUUUAAUUUUUUCCAGUAUUCAUCUUUCAACAUAUCUGAAUACACAUUACAGCAUUUUUUAUAAUUCCAGAUGGUAUCAGAGCCUAGUUUGGUCCUGGUUAGGUGUCACUUAGGUGUUUGAUUUUUUUCCUCAAUCAAGUGUAGAUCUCUAGUUGGGCGUUAUUUUUGAAGAUUAUUUUUUUUUGGAUUCUUAUUUAGAAUUGUUACUGGUGUGAAUUUAGUUCUAACUAUCUCAUUAAUCUGCAGUGAUAUCUAAAUUGUUAAAUCAGACCUAGCACCUAAUGCAAAAUCAAAUAAUGGCCAUUCCAACACCCACCACAGCAAACUAUAAUAUUUUUAGCCUAGUUUCGGAUAAAAUGGACAGAGGGAAUUACUUAUGUUGGAAAAAUCAGUUUGAAUGUGCACUUCGGGUUCACAAGCUUUUACAUCUAAUAUCCGGUACUGAACAAGUUCCUGUGAGCAUGUUGGACAAUGGAACUGCCAAUCCAGAAUUUGAAGAAUGGGAGACCAGGGAUAAUCUGGUAUUAGGAUGGUUAAAAGCUACAGUUUUCAAUCCUUAUCAACUGAUGCUUUUAAAGUGUAAAUCAGCAUUUGAAGGUUGGAAUUCAUUAGAGAAAUUAUUAUCCCCAGUCAGCAAAACUCAAGUACAAGUUAUAAGGGAUCAGCUGAAUAAUCUGAAGAAGGGUACAAAUGAGUCAAUGCAGGACGUACUAUUUAGUAAAGGCAAAAGGUUUGGUAGAGUCCUUGGCAUCAACUGGUGAAGUUACUAGUGAUAAUCAGACAAUGGCUUCUAUUUUGAAUGGUUUGGGAAGUGACUAUCAUAUAGUAGUCGCCACCAUUAGAUCAAGAGGCACAACUACAUUUGAUGAGUUAACUGAUUUAUUAAUCAGUGAGGAAAACUUGUUGAAAAGAAUACAAGGAGAAACUCAGGUAACAGCCUUUGCUGCACAUCAUCAACUAGGGGGAAUCAAAAUUAUGGAAGGGUAGAGGUGGAUAUGCAUAUGGAAACCAGAAUUUCAACUAUGGUCAGCAGGGAAAUUACAAUGGAUAUCAGAAUCAGAAUUAUGGUCCACCAAUGAACUACAAUGGAGGAUACAAUGGUGGGCAAUUUUUUAAUGGAUAUAGUCAUGGUGGUCAGAACUUUUACAGAGACUACAUUCAGGAUAUCCUUCUGGGCAACAAUUUCAGAACCCACCAAGAGUACAAAUAUAUCAGCCCAGACUAAAUUAUAGGGCACAAACACAAUCUGUAUACCAGUCUGCUGCUCCUAUAACCACUACACCUCAAUUGUCACCUAUCUCACCAACUCCAGCGUCUAUAUAUAAAUCAAAACUUCAGUUGUCAGAUUUGUGACAAGCAGAGACGUUUGGCUAAAACAUGCCCUGAUUUACAUAACUUUUCAGCUCAUCUAGCUGAAACAACAAUUAUAGACCCUGUUCAGCAAAGCUCGUCUUCUCAGAUCAGUGACAUAAAUCUUAUUGUAGCAAUGUCUGCUUCAGCUUUGUGUAAUGACAGUUCUUGGUGUCUGGAUUCAGGAGCUUCCAGUCACAUGAUUCCGAAUAUAGAUGCAUUCACAUCAUAUAAUCAUUUUUAAGGUAAUCAGUCUGUUAUUGUUGGAAGUGGUGAGAAAUUAAAAAUUAUGCAUAAGGGAUCUAUUUGUAUAAUGACAGGAGGUAAAAGAUUCAUUAUAGAUAAUGUUUUGCAUGUACCUGGUCUAAAGAAAAGUCUUUUGUCUAUUCAGAAAUUAUCUCAUGAUCUUAACUGCAUGAUUUUGUUUAAUAAAAGUGGGUUUUUGGUAAAGGACCUGUCUACCAAGGAGAUACUAUUUUCUGACAGUAGUUAUGGGGGAUUAUAUCACUUGGAUAGAGAUCUAGAAGCUAACUAUGAAGUGAAGGCCACCAGAGAAGUAUGGCACUCCAGACUUGGGCAUACAUCAGAAGUUGUUCUUCAGAAACUGAAUAGUACAUAUUGUCUGUUAAGCCUUCUGAUAAGACAAAGAAUGGAGCUUGCCAUAUUUAUCCUCUUGGUAAAGCACAUAGACUACCUUACACAAGAAGUAUUUCUAGUUGUAAUAAACCACUACAAUUGAUUUAUAUUGAUUUGUGGGGUCCUGCUCCAAUAAAUUCAGUUCAUUCAUUUGUCUAUUAUGCAUCUUUUGUAGAUGAUUUUUCUAAGUUUAGCUGGAUUGUACCCAUGAAUCAAAAAUCAGACUUUUAUAAAAAAAUUACAGUGUUUCAAAAGCAGGUUGAAAACUUAUUAGACAAUAAAAUAAAGGAGGUCUAGACAGAUAUGGUAGGAGAGUUUAUUAAUCAGAGAUUGAAGGAGUUGUUUCAGGAAAAAGGCAUAAGACAUAGAAUGUCUUGUGCAUACACUUCACAACAACAUGGAGUUGUAGAAAGAAGACAUAGACAAAAUAGUCGAAGUGGGCAGGUGCAUUUUUGCUCAAACCAGAAUUCCAUACAAUAUUUAUUGGCCAGAGGUGUUUUCCUCUGCUGUCUUUAUUUUGAACAAGCUACCCACUCCCGUGUUAGGAAACAAAACACCUUUUGAAACAUUGUUUAAACAAAAACCUGAUUAUAAUCUUUUUAAAACUAUAGAUUGUGUUUGCUUUUCACUUAUUCCUAAACAUCAAAGAAAUAAAUUACAACCCAAAGCCUCUAAGUGCGUCUUGUUAGGAUAUGCCACCCAACAAAAGGGAUAUAGAUGUUUACAUUUAGAUACUCUAAAAAUAACAGUCUCUAGAGAUGUUACAUUUGAUGAAUCUGUUUUUCCAUUUGUGAAUUCAGAUACGAAAACCAAUAAUCUACAAAAACCAUCAUCUACAAAAUUAUCCAUUUCUCUACCUAUAAGUAACAAUGAAGUGAAUGGAAAUGGAAACACACUAAUAACAACCAUAAAUAUGUCAAGUCAGUCAAAUAGAUCUUCAAAUGAUAUUCAUACUAUUUCAAACUCAUCUGAACAAAAUCAAUCAAGUACAUCACCAUCUCCUGAAUCAAAUGAGGUAAGUUCUGGUUCAUCAACUACUUCAGUUGAAGGAUCUUCUGAUACAUCACCAUCUUCAUCUAAUGAAGUUAGGAAUCUAUCGACUAAUUUUAACACCUCAUCCAGUGAUGUACCUCAAAUAGAUAGGUAUGUGAUAGAGCCAUCCAGAAAUAUAAACAAUACAGAUCUAAGAAGAUCUGUCAGAGUGAGAACUCCAAAUAUAACUUUAAAAGAUUUUAACUGUUCUUACUACACUAAUAUGUCUAAUAUAUCUUCUUUAUGUGACCCUACAUCUCAUGCACAGGCUAUUAAACAAGGAUACUGGGAUAAAGCAAUGAAAGAAGAAAUGGAUGCACUUCAACAAAACAAAACAUGGCCUCUGGUUCCACAUAUUCCGGACAUGAACAUUGUAGGUUCCAAGUGGGUUUACAAGAUCAAGAGGAAGGCUGAUGGAACAGUUGAUAGGUUGAAGGCUAGAUUAGUAGCCAGAGGAUUUACACAAGAAGAAGGAACUAAUUUUCAUUAUACCUAAAGUCUGGUAAUAAAAAUUACAACAGUAAGAACAGUGUUGUCAUUAGCAACAAAUUUUGGAUGGGAGUUGCAGCAACUUGAUGUAAGAAAUGCAUUUCUGAAUGAGGUUUUACAAGAAACAGUAUACAUGAAGCAACAUACUGGAUUUGUGGACAAAAAGAGGCCAAAAGAUGUUUGUCUUCUUCACAAAGCCAUCUAUGGGCUGAAGCAAGCACCAAGGGCUUGGUAUAUGAGAUUACAUACUUUUUUAGUUCAAAAUGGGUUCACAAAUUCAAAUACUGAUGCAUCUAUGUUUUUUAAGGACUCGGGUUGUUCUAAGAUCAUUAUUUUGGUAUAUGUGAUGACAUUAUUAUCACGGGAGGAGAUACAAGAGAAAUCAAAAGAGUAAUGCAAAUGAUUUGUACUGAAUUUUCAUGCAGAGAACUGGGAAGGCUGAAGUAUUUUUUAGGAAUUGAAUGCUCUUAUGCUGGUUCAUCAAUGAUUAUAUCUCAAGAAAAAUAUACUAACGAUUUAUUAAUGAGGUAUGGGUUUGAUAAAGCCAAACCAGCCAAUACACCCAUGAUACAAUCUCCUAGAAUGUAUGAAAUACAGGUGAAACAGUACAAGAUAUAACUAUGUUCAUGAGUAUGGUGGGCUCUCUACAAUAUCUGAGCUUAACGAGGCCAGAUAUCUCCUUUGCAGUAAAUUAGAUCUGUCAACACAUUCACAAUCCACUUGAUGGUCACUUACAAGCAGUCAAGAGAGUGUUUAGGUAUCUCAGAGGUACUUCCAACAUGGGAUUGAAAUUUACAGCAAAUUCAGAUCAGAACUUGAUUCUAGAAGCUCAUUGUGAUUCUGAUUGGGGAGGAACAUUGGAUAGGAGAUCUAUAACAUGUUCAAGUAUCUGGCUGAAUGGUAAUUUGGUAUCAUAUAUGGUCUGCUAAGAAGCAACCAUCGGUCUCUUUCUCCAGUGUAAAGGCUGAAUCCAAAGCCAUCUCACAUGUCACUUCUGAAAUUAGAUGGUUUUGCUUCUUGUUGAGAGAAUUGAAUUUAAAAUUUUCCAGAGCACCAUUGCUUUUAUGUGAUAAUAAAUCAGCCAUAUAUAUGACAACCAAUCCAACAAUUACCAGCAGAUCAAGACAUAUUGAUAUUGCUUAUUGCUUUGUGAGAGAAUUAUUAGCAAAAGGGGUUUUACAGAUCAAAUAUAUUCCUACUAGCUUACAAUUAGCUGAUGGUUUUACCAAGGUGUUGGGUACUGAAUUAUUCCGACGGCACAAAGAUAGGCACAAAUUGGUGGUUCAGAUACAAGGUCACCUUAUCCAAGUUCACCAGAAUUAAUGCUGCUGAACUUGUAGGAGGAUCUUAAAGAGGGAAUUCCUAACCAGAUAGUCGGGUCAAAAGAUCCUAUAUAAAGAGGCAUUAUCACAACAGGGAAAUCAUUCAAGUUCACAGGUAUUUUCGGUUAAAUCUUUUGGGUUCUAUUUGUUCUGUUCUCAUUCCCACGUUCUUCCUGGAUCUAGGGUUCGUCGAUUUCACUUCAUCUUCUCGUCAGCUCUUUCUCCGUUCAUCGGCGAACAUUCAUUUCUCUCAAUUCCUUAUGUCAAGUCUCUGGUAUUUUUUGAUUUUGCUUUCUACAGUUUACGUUCUUGCUGUACUUUCUGUAAUUACAUUGAAUCUGGAUGUUCUUUGUAUGUUAAUAGAAUUUCUUCAACUUUCCAUAUCUGAAUAAUGUGUAUUGUCGUUUGUGAAAGUUGAAUCUUAGUUCUUGAAUUUUAUAAGUUUGGUUUAAUUUUCAUAUGGUUCCUGUCUAUCUCAAAACAAUUUUUUUUUUCAGUAUUCAUCUUUCAACAUAUCUGAAUACACAUUCCAACAUUUUUUAUAAUUCCAGACUUUUUCUUUCCGAUUAGGUUCGACUUUUUCCCGUCUCCUCGUUUAUCUUUCUCUCUUGUAUUCCAAUAUCGCUUUCCUUCCUCUUCCGGUUGUCGUUGGACGCGUAAGUCGUUCAUUAAUCUUUUAAUCGGUAAUAUAUAUUUUAUGAAUGGUGGAUCUAUCAAUAUCUUACGAGAUAUCUCAUUUUAAGUAUUUUACAAAAAGCGUAGUCUAAAUAAAUAGAACGAGAUUCAGACGAGAUAGUUUAAAUGAGAUAUUUGAAUACACUCCGUUUCCCGAACGAUACCUCGUACUGGCGUCGCCGGUGAAGUACGUCCGACGGAUGUCGUGAAUUUCCCAUUCUAUGGUUGGGAAUUUUAAGUCAUGAGGUUCCGCAGAUGAUUUUGUCGCUUCCACACGUCACGGCACGUAUCCCUUUGGCUACAAGCCAUCUACGCAUAGCGACAUGGCGACAUUGUGCACCGGUAUGGGUUUGUUUGGUACGGCCGGUCAGAAUAAUGUCGCUUCUACUUCCGACAUCGCGGAAUCGCGGUUCAGUUCGCGUCCGACGGAACCAUCAAAUUGCGCCUGGAAAUCCCCAUGUCGUUCAGUGCGCAUAACCACAUCGCGGAAGGCAGAACCACCUUCCCGAAACUCGCGAUGGGUUUCGUCAUCACAGAACCCAUCUUGAUAAAACAAAACCCAUCUUGAAAUCCGAUCAGAAAUCCAUCAGACCUCAUGAAUCGCGAUUGCAUAGUCUCAGAACCCAUCGUGAUUAAACAGAACCCAUCUUGAAAUCCGAUCGGAAAUCCAUCGGACCUCACGAAUCGCGAUUGCAUAGUCUCAGAACCCAUCGUGAUUAAACAGAACCCAUCUUGAAAUCUGAUCGGAAAUCCAUCGGACCUCACGAAUCGCGAUUGCAUAGUCUCAGAACCCAUCGUGAUGAAACAGAACCCAUCUUGAAAUCCGAUCGGAAAUCCAUCGGACCUCACGUAUCGCGAUUGCAUAGUCUCCUGAACGACACUGUCGACUAUGAAAUCCGAUGUCGGACCACGCGAUGGGUUCCGCGGAACGGGAUUGCAGUUCCGUGAACUCGAUUCCGUUCGUGAUGGAUUCCCGGAACUGCAAUCCCUUUCAACUUCCGGUACCUCACUGCAAUCCCGUAGUUCUCGAAACUCGAUUUACCUGUCCUCGCGAUCCUGUCUGAUUGUGUGACGCAAAAAAAUAAAGUACCUCACCGCAAUCCCGUAGUUCUCGGAACUCGACUAUGCAAUUCCAUACCUCACCGGCGACUAUGCAAUCCCUUUCAAAAAUCGUACAAUGAUACAGUACUAGGUAUGGCGUGACGUCGAAUUGGACACCCCAUACCUGACACAAUCGACCAACGGUAGAGGUUCAUCUAGCCAACGGACGGUUGGAUGUGGUGUCCGUCGGAGGUAUCUCACCGAGUAGGUGUCGUUCCAAAAAUGCUUAAUAUUUGAAUAUUCUCAGCCAUUAAAUGAAUUCUUGAGAUGAUGAACUUAUCUUGAAUAAAAAAAUCAAUAACAAAAAGAAUGAUGGUGUGUGGGCUUAAAACAGGUGCUCACACACAACUCCUCCUACUAUACUUGGUGUUUUCUCUCUUUUGUUUUCAACCUUCCUCCCUAGUGGACCAGGGAGGGUGUUUAUAUGAUGCUUGGAUCUUGUUCUCCUUCUAUACCUCCUUCGGCCCAGGGGUCCUUGGCCGGACCCGGCCUGCAAUUCGUGGUCUGCGUCUAGGUCCGAUCAUAGGUGGUUCGGUCCACAGUCCGUGGUACCAACAAAGAAUUAAAGGAUUGCAAAUCGACAAGGGAUAACUAAAAGAACUUUAAUCAUAAGUCUCCAUACCAACUCAUUAAUCAUAACUCAUUACAUUAAUAAUGAGAUCUGAAUUUUUUCUUAUAUUAUUAACAAACACCACAUGCAAUUCAGACCACAAGCUAUAAGUCUAUGACCACAAAUCCAUCACUUUACAAAUUUUCAAUUUACAUGUCUAAACUCAAGUCCAAAAUCAAGGUUCAUUCACUAUCCCAGAAAAAAAAUCCCUUCAUUAAUUUAAAUUUUAUUUAUACAAGUUUCUAAAGGUGUCAACUAAAGCUAAAGCUUAAGGGUUUCUUAGUAAUUAAAUAAAAUAUAGAUAUUAAUUGAUAAAAACUAUUGAAUAAAUUAUAUAUAAAAAAAUUUAAAUAAAAACAUAAUCUAAAAAAAAAUUAUAUAUAAAUAUAUUUUUAAUUUACAAAAUUGCAAGUUAAAUUUUAAAUUUGAGUCCAAGUUUGUCGAUUUUGCUAACGAGUCCGAGUUCGAGACUGGCCGAUUUCUUAACGAGCUCAGCCGAGCUUAGAUAAUUCUUUAACGAGACGAACUUAAGCUUGACUCGUUUGACACUAUAAUGCAUAUACUGAGACUCGAAUCUUAGACCUUCAACCAUUUUAAUAGUGUCUGUGAGGAUGUCACCAAUUAGAAUAAUCAAGUUUUUUUUACCUAAUAAUAAGUUGUGUAUUGUUAUGUAUUUUUAGCAAUGAAUGGAAGUAGGUGGUUGAUAUUUUGAUUUGGUAUUUAAAAAUGAUCUUCUUUUUUAAACAAAUUUAUAGAUAAAUAAAAUAAAAUAUUUAAAAUAGUCAUCGAAAUUAAUUUUGAGAAAUCAUAUAUUCAAACUUAACCCUACAUGAGACGAUUGGAUGAGAUUUGAAUAAAGCCGAUCGUCGUUUUAUUCCAUUUUGUACGAAUUUGACUUUUUUGUAACGCGUAUAUAUUAAUGUCGUCAACAUCAAAAACACAAUUUGUCAACGUCAAUAGUCAUAAUUAAUCACAUCGUUUACUCACGUUUAGUUAAUUUUUUCACUUUCUAUUAUUAUUUUUAAAUCUCAAAUUUUUAUAAAGUUAAAAUUUAAUAAAAAUAAGUAAAAUUAAAACCAUAAAUAUUCAAAAAUCUUAAUAGUUAUUGAAUUUACUGUAAAAGUUAAAAGUCAGUACCAAAGAGUUGUAAAAAUCUAAAGAUCAACAAUUUAGAUUAACUUCAAAGAGCGGAGUAAGUCACAUGUGAUACUAUCUUUUUUUUUUUGUUUUUAAAUUAAUAAAAUUACCAAAUAAUUUUAUCUAAAAAAAACGGUUAAACUAAUUAAGUUAGUUAAAUUUUUAUUUAGAUUAAAUCUUUCGCAAAAUGACAAAAUUCUUAUAUUCAUAUUCAUUAUUUUCACAUAAUUUAAAAAAUCUAUAAAAAAAAAUUAAAUUAAAUUAAAAUUUUAAAUUGUUAAUUAAUUAUCAUUCGGUGGUCCUCUUCAGUCUCUCCAUACUUGUAAACCAAGUAAUCGUCGAAUAAUCUCACCGGGGGGUUAAAUUAAUGUAUUUGAAAGUCUACUGAAUUUUUAAUAAUAAAAUGAAUUUGACAAUUUCCCACACUGAGGGGUGUCUGUUUCUAGACGAAUAAACAGCUUUUAAAAGCAAACCGUUACACUUUUUUGCCAAUUCCAUUCUCUCGUCUCUGAGAAGAAACUCCCUCCCAAGCUUGCAGGUUCUGCCUGAAUUCAGAUUCAGGCGAUGGAGUUACUGACGGGAUUUGCUCUGUUCUGGCAGCAUCUGAAAGCUUUAACUAGGAAGAACGUUAUCCUUACUUGGCGUAACAAGAAAUCCGCUCUUCUCCAAGUCUUCUCGUCGUUGUUCUUUAUAUUUCUGAUAUUCUGCAUCGAUAGGGCUAUCAAAUCGAGGAUGAAUAAUACGACGACUUAUGAGGACGUGUUUGAUCCCAAGGCGAUCGUUGACCCUCCGAUCCCGCCUUGCGAGGAUAAAUUCUUCACCAAAUUGCCGUGUUAUGAUUUUGUGUGGAGUGGGAAAGAUUACGCGAAUGUCAGACAGAUAGUUGAGGCGAUCAAGAAGAAUAAUCCGGGAAGGACUAUUCCAGAUAAUAAGGUAUGAUGUGGUGUUGUGUGAUUAUUUUUUCUUUUCUUUCAAUUUUAUUUGAUUCUUUCAAUUUUUUGUCGAGGUGUUGUAAUCGUUUUGUCGCGGGUUAUCUUUGAAUUUAUCUUCCUUUGAUAGUCAUUUUUUUUAAAAAAUUUGGUGUUAGGUGUUUUAGUUGGAUUUUCUAAAUGGACUUUAAUUUUUUUUUGUUUCGUUUCAUUGGAAUUUAUGAUUGAUUGAUUGAUUUCCUUAUCUGAAAUUGCAUCGUUUUUUUUUUCUUUCAAAAUUUAUUUUACAAGUUUCUUAAAUCUAAUUUUCUUUCUAUUACUUUUAUUUAACUACUUAGUAUAGACUGCAUAGAUAGUUUAUUUAUUAUGUGAAUCCAAUUAUUGUUGUCGAUUUGUGUGUGGCAUACUUUCAUGUAGUUCUUGCAGUUAUGUCAUGUCGUUUACUCUCUCUUUUUUUCCAGUUUAAGAAGUAGCAAAAAUGAAUACAUUGAAAGUAACAUGUCUUGAAUUUAAUACUUUGUUUGCAUCAUGAUUAUGUGCUUAAACUAACUUUCUCUGAAUUGAGAGAGUAAACUAACUGUUCUCCCCUUUUUAGGUCAGGUCUUUUGGAACAACUGAAGAAGUGGAUGCUUGGCUUGGCGAAAAUCCAAUGACAUGCCCUGGGGCUCUGCAUUUUGAAGAGACGGCUAAUGUUAUAAGUUAUGGUAUUCAAACCAAUUCUACGCCAUUGGCCAAGAGAGGAAAUUUUGAGGACCCUACUUUUAAAUUUCAAGUUCCCCUUCAACUUGCUGCAGAACGAGAGAUUGCAAGGUUUCUCAUAGGAGGUAAACAUUUUACACAAAUUAUGUUAUAUGCACAAAUAUUAUUUUCUUUCAAAUUAUUAUGUAUUCUCAAAGUAAAAAAAAAACUUCCAUCUUUGAAAUAAUAGCUCUGGUAUAUAUGCAGAUCCAAACUUUAGUUGGGUUGUUGGGCUCAAAGAAUUUGCCCACCCUGCUAUAGAAACCUUUUCCGCUGUUGCAACUGCUGGACCAACAUUUUUCCUUGCAAUUGCCAUGUUUGGUUUUGUGUUCCAAAUCAGUUCUCUGGUUACAGAAAAAGAACUUAAACUUCGCCAGGUGUAAACUUAGUUAUUGGUUAAUACUUAUUAAUUAUAAGCUCCCAUUUAUUUGAUACAUUCUAUUUUCUAUCUCUAUUAUUUUACAAUUGUAAUUCAAAUUCCCCAUGUAUGCAAAAAUAAGCUUUACCAAUUUGUCAAUACGCAGGCUAUGUCUAUUAUGGGGCUCUACGAAUCUGCCUAUUGGUUGUCUUGGCUUGCUUGGGAGGCUCUUUUGACACUACUUGCAGCCAUUUUCACCGUCUUGUUUGGAAUGAUGUUUCAAUUCGAUUUUUUCCUGAAUAAUAAUUUUGGAGUAUUAUUCUUUGUUUUCUUUCUCUUUCAAUUGAACAUGGUAAGCUUGAUUAAAAUUUGUUAAUAAAAAAUGAUUGGAAGUUUUUCUGUAUUUUCAGAUUGUUUGUGAUUUUAAAGAUGUGACCAUUAUUUUUUACAGUUGGGGUUUGCUUUCAUGAUAUCAACUUUCAUUAGCAAGUCAUCAUCUGCAACAACUGUUGGGUUUUCAAUAUUUAUAAUUGGGUUCUUGACUCAGGUAUGUAUUGCACCACAGUCGGCUAGUCAAGGAUUUUAGUAGAAUAUUGUAUUUAAAUAAUGUAUUUUGCAGCUUGUUACUGCAUUUGGGUUUCCAUACGAUGAAUCGUAUUCCCAAGUCUAUCGUUUUAUUUGGUCAAUAUUUCCUCCUGAUCUUCUUGCACAAGCCCUUGUUAUCCUUGGAGAUGCAACGUCUACGUCUGAGUCUGAGGGGAUCAGCUGGAGCAGUCGUGGAAAAUGUCCUGUUCGGACCCCUGACUGUGUGAUUACGAUAGUAUGAUCUCAAAGACCCAAACCUCAUAAUUUACAAUGAUAUCAAAAUAUUUUUGAAUUUCUUAUUUACUUUCUCAUAUUUGGGUUUUUUUCUUCCUUUGAACAAAAUAGAACGACAUCUACGUGUGGCUCAUAUCCACAUUUUUUGUGUGGUUCUUCUUAGCAAUUUACUUGGACAAUAUAUUGCCCAAUGCAAAUGGCGUUAGAAAACCAGUAUUUUACUUUUUAAAACCCUCAUACUGGACAGGGAAUGGUGGCGGAAAAGUUGAAGGUAUGUUUUCGUUGUCCAAAAUAAAUCUCAAUUCCGUGAUAUAUUCUAGGUCAGUAAUAUUUGUGGAAUACUUAAAUUUUUAUCCGCAGAAGGAGGCAUUUGUAGUUGCAUGAGUUCAACUCCAGCAGUUGAGAUUGUCACUCCAGAUGAUGAAGAUGUCAUUGCAGAGGAAACAGCUGUGAAACAACAAGUAACUGAAUCAGAUUUAGUUCCCAAUGUCGCUGUUCAGAUACGUGGUCUUAGGAAAACUUAUGCAGGCACGACGAAUGUUGGUUGCUUUAAGUGCAAAAGGACACCACCAUAUCAUGCCGUUAAGGUCAGAAAUAAAUUCAUGGUUGGAGUUUAGAACCAUCCCAUGUGUUUGUAUGUGUUUUAUUUUUUAAUUUAUAAUGAAACUCAUUGUUUUCUUUAUUUUUUAAAUCAGGGAGUUUGGGUGAAUUUUGAAAAGAAUCAGCUCUUCUGUCUUCUUGGGCCUAAUGGAGCUGGGAAAACAACAAUAAUCAAUUGUAUGACUGGUAUAACACCAGUUUCAGAUGGAGAUGGUAAGUAUUUUAAUUUUCUAAUCCAUCUCGAUUUUAACUUAAUAUUUCUGAUAUGUAAAUAAUAAGAGGAAAGAUACUCACUAGUAUACGGAACUUCUUUCAGCACUUAUUUAUGGAAAUUCCAUUCGUAGCACAGUUGGUAUGUCCAACAUCAGAAGGAUGAUUGGUGUUUGCCCUCAGGUAUUCAAUAAAAUGACAUGAAUCCUGCAUUUUUUAAUAUUAGGAGAUUAAAUAACAAUAUUGAUCACAUAUGUUCUAUAUUUGUUUACGUGUUUUCAGUUUGAUAUUCUUUGGGAUGCACUAUCUGCUCAGGAGCACAUACAUUUAUUCGCUAGCAUCAAAGGCUUGCUACCAUCUACCAUUGAAUCAGUAGGGGACAGUGAUCUAUAUUGUUUCUGUUUAAAAUUCAAUAAAUUUUAUAUAUUUUGCCUAAUGAAGUGUUUUCUUGGAAAUAGGUGACUGAAAGCUCUUUAGCAGAAGUCAAAUUGACAGAAUCAGCCAAGGUUAGAGCAGGAAGCUACAGUGGAGGGAUGAGGCGCCGACUCAGUGUUGCAAUCGCUCUUAUUGGAGAUCCUAAAUUGGUUUUCUUGGAUGAACCGGUACAUAAAAAAUAAGCAAUGUGCAUUUUUUAUAAAAACUAAGCAUUGUUUACUAGCAUUAUUAUUUAAUGCAGUUUAUAGUUUUUAUAGUGUGUAAAGGUCUAAAGGAUCUAUGCUGUGUGCAUUUUACCUUUUUCUGAAUAAUUUUUUUUUAUAAAGAGCUAUUGAUUUAAAUGCAGACGACGGGAAUGGAUCCAAUUACUAGAAGACAUGUAUGGGACAUCAUAGAGGAAGCGAAGAAAAACCGUGCUAUAAUUUUAACAACCCAUUCAAUGGAAGAAGCUGAUAUUUUGGGUGAUCGCAUAGCCAUCAUGGCUAAGGGAAAACUGAGAUGCAUUGGAACUUCAAUAAGAUUGAAGUCAAGGUUUGGGACUGGGUACAUUGCUAAUGUGAGUUUCUUGAGUAAUUCUGCUGGACAGACAGAAAAUGUUAAUGGUGAUACCGAUUUCACUAGCAUUGGUCAGGUUGCACAAGUGAAGGAGUUCUUCAAAUCUGUAAGUAAAUCAUUCGUAAUUGUGGUUUAAUUAGACUCAAUAUAUUGAUUAAUGACAAAUGAAAUUUACUUAAAUGACAGCAUUUAAAUGUGGUGCCUAAAGAAGAAAAUAAAGGAUUUUUGACUUUUGUGAUUCCUCAUGUUAAAGAGGGGCAGUUGACAGUAAGUCAUUAUUUUUAUAGUUAUUUUUACUCAUGCAAACUUCAUUAUUUAUUGAUACCGUUUUGUUUCCUCAUCUAUUACAGAAAUUCUUUGCUGAACUUCAAGAUAGGGAGAAAGAAUUUGGAAUCUCAGAUAUUCAACUUGGUCUGACCACACUGGAAGAGGUGUUUCUUAACAUAGCGAAAAAGGCCGAAUUAGAAACUGCCACUGCAGAGGGAAGCAUGGUGACGCUUAAUGUGACCUCCGGAACUUCAAUUGAGGUUUUUUCCCCAUCCCCUCUUCUUGUUCUUUUUACAAUCCAAAUUGAGGUGUCUUCUUUAAUCCCGAAUAUAAAUUUUAAUGUUACAUGCAGAUACCAAAAGGAGCUAGGUUUGUUGUUCUCCCUGGAACAGUAUCUGCAGAAAAUCCCAGUGGUCUCAUGGUUGAAGUGUUUUGGGAACAGGAUGACUCUGGAAAUCUCUGCAUUUCUGGUCAUUCAGAAGAAACUCCAACACCUUCACACAUUCAUCCUGUAUUCAGUGAAACUGGUCCACAGCGAUCUUUAUUUGGUGGUAGCACACUUCCUGUAGGAUUUGUUGUUAAUCCAGAUGAAAUCAACGAGCAUUAGAAAUUUAGAAUAUGAGAAUAUUUAUACUGUCAAUAAUAGUCUGGAAUUUAUAACAAACAUGAAUCGGUUAUCGGUGUAUAAUAUCUUAAUUUUUUUCAUAAUUUUUAUAGAAUUACAAGUUUACAACAAAAGAAUAAUACUGAAUUAAUUUCAUUUCAUUUAAAAGUUAGAACAUCUUCCUAGUACCCUGUUUUGAGUGCAUUUAUAAUUUCUUUUGGAAUGUUUUUAGCGUAGAAAUUAAAAACUAUAAUAUUGCGAUAUUUAUUUGAAAAUACACUCCUAAGAGGUUUGGAUCAGAAAUCGACCAUGUUGAUAUAUGACUGAACGCCAGUUACUCUCAUCAACGUCCCUCAAUAGUGACUUGGGCUCCGUUCGUUAUAUGUCAGACCCUCGGAAGUCUCCCACGAUUGCGAAACAAUGAUCUUCGUCAAGUCGUCGAGUUGAACUAGUGAAUCGUCGACUUGGGCUGCCAAAUCGUCGAGUUGAGUGGUAAAUCGCUGAGUUGAAACCGAAAUCGCCAGCAUUGGCAGGUUGCCGAUCUCACCCCUUUGAACUCUCCGACCCUGCCACUAAAUCGGCGAUUCUCCCCCUAAUCGCCGAUUAUACACAUCUAAUCGCCGAUUUCUUCCGAAAGAUUUGACGUAAAGCGCGCGUCGUAGACUCCAGAGCCUCCGGCAUCACCUCGCACCACCGCCAGCCCUGGUAGAAAUUUCCGUGCUUCAUCAGACCCCAAGAAGAGUGUAUGCAUCUUUUGAUCUCCAGGAAGCCUUCGAUUCCAUUAAUUGGCAAGCAAUCAAGGACACUCUACGAGGUAUGAACAUAAAAUCUCGCUUAAUUUCAAUUAUAAUAGAUUAUGUUACAUCUACCGGAAUCUCAAUCAAUCUCGAUUGAGGGAACUCCAACAAAAGAAUUUCGAGGUGUCCGUAGGGGCCUUGAUCCAUUAUCGCCAAUUUUGUUCAUCAUGAUUCAUUGAUUCUUAAAGUGUUAUCACAGACUUACAUUAUGGGAGGAGCAAAAUCACUGACACAUCUCAUAUUCGCCGAUGACUUGCUAUGGUUUGCAAAACCUAUGGCACGAAGGGAGCUUCGUGUGGGAGAUUGUCAGAUAAAAUCAGAUUCAAUUUUACCAACGGGACGACAAAAAACUUAUCAUAUGCAGGUAAAUUCAAAUGAUAAAAGGUGGGUGAUAUAUGGAAAACUCAAUUUCUGGUUCCAAGGCUUGAUCCUUCCAAAAUUGAUUCUGGAUUAAGUCCGCAAGAUUAUCUAUGGGUUUGUGUUGGGAAGGAAGAAAAGGAAUAAGUUGGCGUCACAUGGUUCAAGGUGAUUGAUGGUGUGUGUGUCAAAGGUUGGUGUUCACAUACGCAAAACUCGUUCCAAUAGUAAUAAGUCGAGCUCUCUGAGUAUAAAUGACGCUCCUCUAUUAUAAGUGGAACUUUCUUUAUGGUUUCUCUGUGGUCAAGAGAGGGUAGUUAUACUACUCUAGUCUCUACGGACCGGGCCUCUUGACUUGUGGUCCGCUUCGACCCGUGGGCCCAUAGUAUCAUGCAGUUCAUUGGCCCAGUUAUUGGACCAUGGUACCAAAAGUGACAAAGAUCUGUUGGCUGAAGGAGUGUGGACAUGUAAACCUUCCAAGAUGGUGGUGAUGCUUUGGCGGCUGAGAUGGAACAAGAUUUACACUUUUAACAAACUUAAAUUUUGAGGGCUGACGGUGCCAAAAAAAAGUAUAUCGGUCGGAUUAGGGCUGAACAAAUGUCUACUCUCAGGGCCCUCAAAACAAACUUAAAUCCAACGGGAAUAUCUAUAGUUAAACUGACUGUCUAUAGUUUAACUAUCUGAUUAACAACUUAUUGGUUACUUAUGAUAGAUCAAUUAUCAUUUAAUUCACUACAAAAAAAAAGUCACCUUGUAUGGUAGACAGGAUUCCCCCACGGAUAAUUCUGUACUUUUGGUGACGGAAAUCAGUUCUACUUAUAAUCCGUCACAAAAGGAUGAGGGUUUAAUAAAAAAACAUCCCCAAAUCUACAGACCAGGUCUGUCGAUUUUUGAGAUUUCACGCAAUGUCAUCUGUGACGUAUUUCCCCCACAAAUAGUUUUCACGAAAAUGUAGAGCAUUGGUGGCGGAUUUCCACCACUGGUAGUCUUUUUGGUGAAAAUUUUGGAGAAAGAAUUGACGGGCUUCUCUUGGUGGUUCAACACUUUCGUGACGAAAUUCCUCCACUGAUGAUUUUUUUCAUAGUUGUUCAUCUUUUUUUUGUAAUGGGAUGAAAGCAGAGGUGGGAAAAAUCUUAAUAGAGUUUGUAAAAAUGGUGAAAACCUAAUUUUAAACUCAAAUCAAACAAAUUAGGUCAGACAAUGGUUUCAAAUCCACAAAAUUAAGCAAUUUUUUAUAGAGAAAAUGACAUUUUACAAAAAAAUUCAUGUCCUCACUCCCUACAACAAAAUAGUAGAGUAGAGAGAAAAUACAAAGAUUUAUUAAACAUGGCUAGAGGAUUAAAACGGCAAGCUUCUUUGCCAAUAAAAUUCUGGGGUUUAUGCAUACUAGCAUCUUAUUGGCAAAGGGUAUUAAGAGUAUGAAAGUGAGGUUUUGGUGACGGAUAACGGCCGGUUAUAAUAAUUCAAAUACACAUGUAAACAUAAGUGUAAUUAAUGCAUACGAAGAUAUAGCAAACAAUUCAGAUAUGGACAUCUCUUCUUAAUCUCAAACAAAAAAAAAGACAGGAAAUAAUCAUCAAAAUGAAAAUUUGAUGAAUGACUCAAGCAUUAGUAUUUCAGCUUACAAUGAAAGUUCUAAACGACAAAAUACCAACUAUAAAGAUACAUAUGAUUAACAUAUGAUAUAGGUAGAGUAAAAAAUAUGAAAUAAAAAUAAUGUAGGUAAAUUUUAGGAUUGAAGGGCAAAUGUCUAUCUACCAAAGUCUAGUUCGAGUUUGGGAGGAGUAGUAUGUUCACUCCGUCUUUUUUUUUAUGUCUUGAAAUCAAUAAAAUUGUCAACUUAUUUCAAACUCAAAAAAAAUCUUAACAGCAAAAUAUACAAUAAGAAGUACAGAUUUAUCAACAAGUUACAAGGGGAGGAAUACGACAGUAGACAUUCCACAUGAACAAAUGUUCUAACCAGAAGUCUUACGCCGGCCAUAGCAGGUGGGGGUAUAGGGUGCAUGAUAAAGGAAAUACAAGUUAACUAAGAGCAAUUAACUUGUAUAAACACAAUCUCUGUUUGCAGGACCUAAUUGACAUUUCAGAUGGAAGAUCAUUGUAUAGGAAAUAACCCAAACGAGUGUGUGAGAUACUGAAGAAACUUAAGGCGAAAGUGCAAAAGUUUCAUGAAGUCCCACACGGUGAUAAACAAGAAACUUAAGGUCCAAGUUGCAAAGUUUCCAAUUAAACUUAAUGGAUCGACUAAUUCACGCAUGGGCUACAACAGUUGGGCCAAAGACCAAUUAACUUAGCAAAUAUUUGUAAUAACAAAUAGUUAAUUAGCUAAGUUAGUUAGGGUUGUAAUUAGUUUAAAAGACCAAUUAACUUAGCAAAUAUUUGUAAUAACAAAUAGUUAAUUAGUUAAGUUAGUUAGGGCUGUAAUUAGUUUAAAAGGAAACCAUUGUGACUGGAAUUAAUUAAGUUAAUUACAUUCAAAUUGUGAUUAAUAGAAAAUACUAUUCUAAUCUCCCUCCAACGGCUUCUAGGCGACAGUUAAGUCGCAUAACCCUAGAAUCCGCCCCAAUCUUGCGCUACUCCACUUCUACUCAAUUCCUACCAUCACCUGAGCAAUUGAAUCCGGUAGCAGCCAAGCGAGUAGGAGAUUUAACAAUUUCUACCAACUUGUAGGUAGAAUUGAGUUUGGCCAUUUCCUGCGCAAUUGUAAUAUUGCUGUUAAUUCCUAUCAUUUGGAUGACCUAGUUGGUCGUUACAUCGGGAAUUAUGAGUUUAGGCUCAUAAUUCCUGAUGUAGGGUGUUAUCCUUCGAUUAAUUUUGAGAAACUUUUUCUUCCUUGGUGUCGACAAAUCGUGGUUGUGAACGUCGUUUAAGAUCGAUAUCAUCCAUUGAUCUCCUACAAUCUUGAGAGACAUUAGUGCCCUGCAACCAGUUCUCGGAUUUCUGAUGUGUCUUGACUUCGUUGAUUUCUCUAAAAGAUUCUGUAUUGUAGGAUCGAUUGCUUGAGAAAUGCCUUCCUUGGAGCAAGCGUAUGUUUUCUUCCGUAGUCCUUGUUUAAAAUGUCUUGUUGAUCCUUUCCAACUGAAAAACCCUUCUGCCCCGCGUAUUUGUAGUACAUUUCCUUUGCCUCUUCAUUUGAAUCGAACAUCAUGCCGAUUUUUGGUUUUUGGGUUUGGCUACAAACAUUUUUUCACGAGAGGCAUAUAAUCAUGAAAUACAAUGAUGAUUUUUAUUAUGUUUGUAUAAAAUUUGUAUAAUUGAAGAACCAUGGCCUCGUUCUUCAAUUACUGGAUAGCUGUAUCGAUAUUAUAAAAAUGAUUAUUCAUUUUCAGGUUUUUUUGGUAACUAUAAUGUUCAUAAUUGAAAGUAAACAUUGAUGGCAUUAUAAGGAACAGAACACGACAUGUCAGACAAACCUAAACGUUGUUUGCAGGCUAUCGUUAACCUCCUGACCCAAUACAGUAGUAAUAUCGCUUAAAUCUGUUGUGCCAAAAUGAAAUAUAUGUAGCAAUUGCAGAACAAGAAUAUUUUUUAUAUAUCGACAAAAAUUCAUACUAAGGUUAAUGUCUUGUGCGGAAGCCACGUUUACCUAUGAUGAUACUAGAAAAUGACAGAGCAAAUCUACUAAAAUCCGGAAAAAGGAUUAAAGUAUUAGUUGUAAGUCGUUUAAAUUGUACCUCUGAUAUACUAAUAUCCAUGUCUUCCGUUGACUACAGGUUCCUUUGAUUAUUGCCAAUCGCGGAUUAAAUUACUUUACGUUCUUACUGCAAUUUACAUUGAGAAAAUGAAAUCAUAUCAUAAUUCAGCGAUGUUCUAUGAUUUGGAUUUCGAGAAAUUCAUAAAAUGUUUUCGGGAAAAAUAAAUGGUUGCAAUUCUAUAUCUUCAACAAUCUAAGAUCAUUAUGUUACAAAAUUGUUUGUCAAAAAUAUAGACUUUUUCAGACUAAAUUUACAGACAUGUAGUUGGACAUGUUUAUCUGAAUGUGAAAAAAUUAUUCCUCGCAAAAGUUAAUCAAAAAAUCGUUUUAUUCACUCAAUGCAGACAUGUAAUGGUCCACUUGAAAAGCCUAAACUAAUCACACUAACUACUGUGUCAGAUGUUGGUAAAUUAUCAUAGUAAAUCAUUUUUACCUCAUUGCAUUCCUUUACAAUUUACAUACCAAAAUUGUGCUCUAAUUCUGCAUCCAUUGUCUAUGAGGUCUAAUUCUGCAUCCAUUUCAAAAUCCACAAUUCAAUGGCUAUGAGGUUUAAAAUCUGUUUCAAUUAAAUGAACAAGGUGUCUAGUUCAGUUCUAAUGCUCAAUUGAUUUUUACUUGAAAAAUCUAGGCCAACUAUUAUUUUCCUGUUGCUACCAUGCUUCAACCACUUCUCCAUAGACUAAAAUUAGUAUAAAUCUUACAAAUAACAUGGAAUGUUUGGAAAACUACACCUAAACAGAUUGAGAAAUCGUUUGAUUUUCAUCGAAAACAGGAAUACAAUAACAUCAUGGUGUAGUCCUUGCACUACAUUUCAUUUAGUACCUAAGUUCAUACAAAAGUUCUUAACUACUUCCCCAGACAUUUUAAUCCAUUCAAUGACACUACUCCCUAUGUGGUGGAGUGUUGAAUGACUUAUGCCACCAAUCCAUCCAUUCAUCAGGAUCAGGGAUAUCUAAUACCCUGUAGGACUCCUCCACAAAAUCUUCAUCAUCCUACACUGGUUCAGGCGCAAUCGGCAUCAAUGGUAUGAAGUUAGGAUGAUUCAUAGGUAUAUUCUGAAGACACCAUGCACAUUGAUUUAGUGAGGAGAAUCCAGUUUUUCUGUGAGGUUGCGACAGACGAGAUUGAGACAACUGGAUAGGUUCUUCAAAGAUGGGCUGAUGAAUUGGUGUUGCAUUAUUCAUUGCCAUUGGUGGAUAUGGAUCAAGACGUCUAUGCAGUACAGGCACUGGGUCUCCUCCUGAUGACUGACCUCUCUGCAGAGAAUUUUUUCUCUUAAAAGGCCAGUAUCCCCGCAUUUCAGAUACACCUUUACCUGAGGGAGUUCAAGUUGGAAUAUGCUUGGAAGUAUUGUGUUUCGGAAGAGGACAAUCAGCUACAGUGCCAUCCUUCGACUCAUCGUUACUAAUGACGAUAAUUUCCUUCAUUUUCCUUCUCGUCCUUGCAACAUGAUUGGUCUCCUCCGCGCUUCUUUUCCUUGAACUCAUUAGAAAACUAAAAACCUCCUAAUCAAUAUUUGUCAACUAUAUGAAUUUGUAAUAACAUGCCAUGAAAAAAAAAUCAGGAAUACAUGAGACUAAAUGUGAGAAACAGGGGUACAUGGGAUUUGAAUAAAUGUUAUCAACUGUAGCAGAAAUGUAAAAAUAUUUGAUUAUAAAUGGCUGGUUCUAGAUCAAAUUAGGUGAUGGGAAUGCUAAACUAUUAUCAUAAAAACUAUGGAUAAUUAGAAAUAUCAGUCAAAAUUGGUAGUCCGACUUUGAAAAAAAACAGACACUUGAGUUGUUUAUGAACAUGUCGACCAAAAUUAAUAUCGACUAAGUCAGAGUUGAAAAAAAACCUUCCGAUGAGGACGAUGGGUUGAAGAUGAUUUGUUGUAGUCGGAAGACCUCUCUUCGUUGAUGAAUGGAUGAGGAGAUUGUUGAAAAUAUGAGAUUGUACUUCCCUAUUUAUCUGUGAGGAAGAGCAGCGCCGAAGCCGGGAGGAAUUGCUCGCCAGCCGAUGAGAAAUCGUGAAAAGAGGGGGAGAAAUUAGGUUUAUUCGUAUAACCUAAUUUCAAUGUUAGUUACUACUGUAGUAGUAACUGGAGAUUAGAGAGAGAGUAAUUGUGUAAUCAAAUUGUAUUAUCAUUAAUGUUAAUUACACACAUUUUAUAUUAAUACAAGAGUUAUCAACUCAAAUGACUAACUAACACUAACUACUAACACUUUCGAUCUUACUGGACUAAUUCAACCAUUACGGCCCCAAUUUCUUUCUUUGGCCCAUCGAGAUAUUUAUUAAAAUAUUUGCAGCUUUGUCCCUGCAUUUUAUUUCCUUUACUUUCUUGACAAACCUGCAUACCUGUGUUUUAUCUAAUUCACACAUUAGUCCAGUCAGUGUUAAUUAAACUCUGUUAUGUAGUGUUAAUUAUUACUUCUUUUACUCCCCCCUCAAGCUCUGGAAUAGAUAUUUAUAAUUCCAAACUUGACAGAGGUUGAAGUAAUUUCAUUCUCUCCCAUAGGUUUAGUGAACAUGUCUGCCAAUUGGUACCUUGUUCCAAUUUUCUUAAGGCAUAAUGUUCCUUGGGUAAUUAGUUUUCUAAUGAAAUGACAAUCUAUCUCGAUGUGUUUUGUUUUUUCAUGAAACACAGGGUUAUUAGCUAGAUUGAUUGCUGAUUUAUUAUCGCAAUAUAUUAUCAUUUUAUUAUUAGUUUUGAUUUUCAUUUCUUUGAUUAACUGAUGAAUCCAUAUUACCUCACAGGCUGUUUGAGCUAUUGCUCUGUAUUCAGCCUCACAUGAGGAUCUUGAUAUCAUUGCUUGCUUCUUGGAUUUCCAGGAUAUGACUGAAUUUCCAAUUAAAAUACAGAAGCCAGUUACUGACUUCCUGCUGAUUUGGCAUCCUGCCCAAUCAGAGUCGCAAAAGGCAUGAAUGCUUAGGUCUUCACUAUUUUUGUAUAAGAUGCCUUGUCCUGGUGCACCCUUUAGAUAUCUCAGUAUUUUAAAUAAUGCUUUCAGAUGAACCUCCUUUGGUUCACUCAUGAACUGGCUAAGCCAGUGAACUGCAUAACUCAGGUCAGGCCUGGUGAUGUUGAGAUAUAUAAGUUUGCCAACUAGUUUUCUAUAAAAGGUUGGGUCUCCAAUCUGUUUGGAUUCACUUUUAAGGUCUAUAUUUCUUUCCAUUGGUAUUUUGGAUUCUUUUGCUCCUGAUAUGUCACUUUCUUCAAGUAUUUCUAGUGCAUAUUUCCUUUGAGAUAAUAGGAUUCCUUCACUAGAAUAGGAUACUUCUAUUCCUAAAAAAUAGUUUAGUUUCCCAAGAUCUUUCAAUUUAAACUUAUUUUCUAAUUGUAUUUUAAGGAUGCUUAUUUCCAUUUCAUUGUUACCUGUAAUGAUUAUAUCAUCCACGUAGACAACUAAGUAUACUAUGUUUUCAUUUUUCUCUCUUAUAAAGAGAGAGUAAUCUGAUUUGGUUUGUAUGAAGCCAAAAUCUAGUAGUGUGUUUCUUAACUUCUCAAACCAAUUUCUAGAGGUCUGUUUAAGGCCAUAUAAAGAUUUGUUAAGUUUGCAUACUCUCUUGUCUCCUUCUAAAAGUAGGCCUUGGGGUGGCUUUAGGUAUACUUUCUCAUGGAGAUCACCAUGAAGGAAAGCAUUAUUAACAUCAAUUUGGUAUAGGUUCCAUCUCUUUUGUGCUGCAGUUAAUAUUCUUACUGUUGUCAUUUUUGCAACAGGUGCAAAAGUUUCAUAAAAAUCCAAUCCUUCCUUUUGAGAGAAGCCUUUGGCUACCAACCUUGCUUUAUAUCUCUCAAUUUCUCCAUUUGGUUUGUAUUUGAUUUUGUAUAUCCACUUGGAUCCUACUACCUUCCUUCCUUUGGGAAGUUCAGUCAUGGUCCAAGUGUUGUUUGAGAUGAGAGCUUCCAUCUCUUUCUUCAUUGCAUCUACCCAUUUUGGGUUGUUUGAUGCUUCAUUGAAUUAUGUUGGUUCAAUAUUUUUAUUGAUUUGUUAUAGGAAUUCCUUAUGUUUAUCGUUUACCCUAUGAUAUGACACAUAAUUGCUCAUAGGGUAUUUGGUUUUCUUUGAUGGAUCAUCAUCCAUAUGAAAAUCCUCAAAAUCUUUAGGCUUGGUUAUUAAUCUGCCCAGCAUUGUUUGUUUUGGAUUUUUAGUUGUUAUAGUUUUAGAUUUAUCAUUUUUAGUGUUUUGAUCUUGAUUUUUAUUAUCAUGAUUAUUUUCAUGUUUUUCUGUAUUUUAUUGGCUGUUAGAACUUUGAAUUGAAACCUCUUUAGAAUUACUCUGUAUUUCUGAGUUGUUUAAAUUUGCUUGUUGUUCUGGAUUCCAGCAUGGUGUGUUCUGUGGUAUGUUUAUGGUGAGACAUGUCUGAUUACGUCAGUCACUCCCAGCAACGCCCCUCAACAUGGACUAGGGUUCCGUCGCUUUACGCCGAACCCCUGGAAGGCAUCCACGGUGCAGAGCAAGUAUCUACGUCAAGUACUCAAGGCAACACCUGGGAAUCGACGACUUGGCAAGGGGUGAUUCGCCGACUCCAGACAAGGCACUCGGGUCUGGUAGACCGAGGACCUGACCACAAGGGAGUCGCCGACUCCACCUCUGAAUCGGCGACUCCCAUACCUGAGUCGUCGAUUCCCAACCGUUACUUGGGAGGGCCCACGUCAUUAUGGCAUCCUUAAUUGGACACCAUAAUGGAGUGGGCCCCACGCUAAUGAAUGGGGAAACGCCCCCAGGACCCUAUAAAAGGGGUCCUUGGGGGUCCUCCACUCCCAAGUCAUUCCCACUUGACAACACUCCACACUAGAGCAACCAAGGAGCCCGAGUCGCCGACUCUCACGUGAGUCACCGAUUCCCCUCCACUUCUGCAGGUAUUUGACGUAGAGCGCACGUCGUGGACUCCAAAGCCUCCGUCCCUCCUCGCAACCCCACGAGCUUACUGGUAGCAGAUUUCGUGCAUCAUCAGUUUAUAAUGUUUAUAUCAGUUUGAUUUUCAUUACUUUUGUCUGAUAUAAACUGUUUUUCCAGUGUAUUUUGAAACUGACCAGACUGGUUAUUUCCAGUUAUACCUGGUCUGUUUUCAAGAAUGCAUCCAGAGUCUGAAUUUUCAUUGGUUCUAUCUGAAAAAACUUUGUUUUUCAUUUGUAUUUUUGUUCUGGCCAGACUGGUUAUUUUCAGUUAUACCUGGCAUGUUUUCCAAAAUAAUUCUAGACUGAUCUGGAUUUUUAUUUUUAAUUUUUUUCUGUUAUUUCCAGACUUGAUAUUGCCUUGGGUUGAUGUUUAUUAAAUAUUUCUUACAAUGGAAAAAUAUUAUUUAUUUUGUUUUGUUGGUUUUUAGGUAUUGUUUGUUGAAAUGGGAAAACAUCUUCCCUAAAGACAACAUCUCUACUUAUGUAAAAUUUCUGAUUUUCUAAACUGAGUAUUAGAUAUCUUUUUAUAUUGGGAGGAUAUCCCAUAAAAACUCCCCUAAAAGUCCUUGGAGAAAACUUAUGUUCUUUGUUGUGUAUUGUUGCAUAACACAUACACCCAAAUGUUCUUAAGAAUUUAUAUUUUGGUUUUCUUUGUAUAGAAUUUCAAAUGGGGUCUUAUUAUCUAGGACUUUAGAUGGAAUUCUGUUUAUUAUGUAGGUUGCAGUUAAGAUACA